Molecule: long non-coding RNA, 46423 nt
Filed under: Citrus sinensis (sweet orange)
Lineage: Eukaryota; Viridiplantae; Streptophyta; Magnoliopsida; Sapindales; Rutaceae
Description: long non-coding RNA (CSIN_LNC000969)
Source: RNAcentral
AAUGGCCUCUAUUGAUUUCUUCCUUGGCAUUUUUGCUCAUAGCCACUACUGCCACGGCUGCUUAUGAGCCUUACAUUUAUGCCUCACCACCUCCACCGCCUUACUAUUACAAGUCACCACCACCACCAGAAUAUUCUCCACCACCACCUUACUACUACAAAUCUCCACCACCACCUGAGAAGUCUCCCCCGCCACCUUACUACUAUCACUCACCACCUCCUCCUAAGAAGUCACCCCCACCACCUUACUACUAUAAGUCUCCGCCUCCGCCGAAGGAAUAUCCCCCACCACCUUACUACUACAAGUCUCCGCCACCACCGGAGAAGUAUACCCCGCCACCUUACUACUACAAGUCUCCGCCCCCACCCGAGAAGUAUACCCCGCCACCUUACUACUACAAGUCACCGCCCCCUCCGCCACCUUACUACUACAAGUCUCCGCCACCACCGGAGAAGUAUACCCCGCCACCUUACUACUACAAGUCACCGCCCCCACCCGAGAAGUAUACCCCGCCACCUUACUACUACAAGUCACCGCCCCCACCGGAGAAGUAUCCCCCUCCACCUUACUACUACAAGUCACCGCCCCCACCGGAGAAGUAUCCCCCUCCACCUUACUACUACAAGUCACCGCCCCCACCAGAGAAGUAUCCCCCUCCACCUUACUACUACAAGUCACCGCCCCCACCAGAGAAGUAUCCCCCUCCACCUUACUACUACAAGUCACCGCCCCCACCAGAGAAGUAUCCCCCUCCACCUUACUACUACAAGUCACCACCGCCACCAGAGAAGUAUCCCCCUCCACCUUACUACUACAAGUCACCACCGCCACCACCUUAUUAUUAGAAGUCUCCUCCACCUCCCUCUCCAUCUCCACCCCCUCCAUACUACUAUAAGUCGCCACCUCCUCCUUCUCCAUCUCCACCCCCACCGUACUAAUAUUUGUCUCCUCCACCUCCUAAAGGCUACUAAAUAUACAAUGUGUUGUUGAAACAUGUGUGAUCUUAGUUAUGUAAGAAUAAGUGUAAGUUUGUAAGCUUGUUCUAUUUCUGAUUUUUUCUUCAUCAAUGUUUUUGUGAAUAAAAGGAUUUGAGAUGGUAAAUCCAUUUGUAAGAAGUGCUGCUCAUUUUCGUUGUAAAAGUUAUUGUAAGCAAUAAGAUCUCGUAAUUUAAGGUUUCAUAAAAGUUAUAUGUGCAACUACUUUCAAUUUCCAUUGUCAUCUUUUUCACAACCACCAAGCGUAUUACUUCUUUAUAGAUGGAAAAUGCAGAGGCAAGCUUAUUAUUCUUUAAUAUUACCAUUCUUGAUGUGUUUGUUUAUUUAGUUGAAACGGUAAAUAAAAUGUACAUGAAGUACCGCACUGCAUCCAAAUUAAAUUUAGGAUAUAGACUAAGUUCAUGUAAUCUCAAUUUUGUCACAUUAUUAUUGGAUUUUAUAUAAAUAGCUAAUUUCUUUUCCUUCCGAAUUUCGACGGGAAGGAGAAUUUAUUAAGUAAUACAGAGAAGUGCACCUAGUAAUAUUUAAAGAGGAUAUAAUGAGCACUACCUUUCAUGAUGAUAAUGCCCAUGAACAAGUAAGAGAAGCUUAGAGUUUUAUUCCUACUCAAAUCAGAUUCUACGGAGGAGUUAUAUUCGUACCUUUUUAACGCUUUACAUAUAUGAUUAGAGAAUUAUGAGGACAUAAAUUCCGCUAUAAAUUUGUUGUUAUAUUUAGAGGAGUUUACAUGACUGGAGAAUUAUACACACAUAAAUUCUUUGAUGUCCAUUUUAAAUUAUAUUCCAAAAGGGAAAAUGUUUUCCGUUUAUGGUUUAAAAAUAGAAGCUUUGUGCUUUUUUUUUUUAAAAAAAAAAUCUAGAUCAUUCAGUGAAUAUUGGUUGUUAAUUUACUGCCAAAAUACUCGUAAGUUUAUUUAUUUAUUCUGUAAUGCAACUUUUGGGAUACAUAAUAAUCAUAUAAAUAAAUAAACUAUAUUGUAAUAUAUUUCAAUUAACUUGUUGACUUGUAUGAAAAGAGCGUGUCAUUACCUUUUAUGCCUAAUUAAAUUUACAAUUUUAGUCCCUAUGAUUUUUUUUUUUCAAUCAUUAAUUCCAUGCUCUUAUGAGUAGAAACAUAUGUAGAAUUUUGAUAUUUAAGAGUUGGUGGAGUUUCUAUGAUAUUUUGUACCUGUGGCUCAUCAUUUCACCACGGUGGGCAACUUCAUGGAUUUUGUCCUCUAAAAGGUAGCACUCUAACUUAAGAUGCCAUGUUCUUCAGAAAGUUAUCAAAUAGUUGAAUAGUUAUAUUAAGUUUAUUAUUGAUAAGAAUCUUAAUUAACUAGAUAUAGUACUUAAUAUACAAUGUUUUAUUCGUGAAAUUGUUGAACUAUUUUCACCAUUUUUCAAUGUCAUUUUCAGGAUGAGCUAUCAUUUGGAAUUUCAUUUUCUAUGGACUCUCACUUUUUCCCAUAACCACUUUUUUUGUUUAUAUUUUAUCAGAUUAAUUAUUCCUUGUUUGUUUAGAAGGAGCUUUCAUAUUGGAGAAAUACAUUACGUAUCUUAUAAAUCUAUGCAUCUUUACCUUUUUUUUUCCCAAAAUAAUUAAAAAAAAAAAAACCUCACCAAUGACCAAUCCAAUGUUCAAUAUGAAAAGUUUGAAGAAAAAAUGGUGUGAACUAAAACAAAAUAUAUAAUUUUGUCACAAUCCAAGAAAAAAAAAUCAUUAUAAAAUAUAAUUAAGAGGUAGCCACCUUCUCUACAUCAAUUUGUCACAAAACUAUAUCAGUGAGAUAUAUGCAAGACUCACCCAUUGGUACAAAAGAAAAUGAUCAAAGUGGAAGCAAAAAUGUGGUGAUAAUUUAGAUGAUCUCCACUCCCCAUUUAGUUUCAUUUAUUAAGUUAAUGUUUAAUCAAGAGUCUAAUUACUCAUUUUAUUAUGUUAUUAAUCAACUGCCGCCCCUUCCACUGGUUCAUUAUUUUUUAUGGAAUACAAAAAACAGACAAUAAUAUUCUUUGACAUAGCUAGGAAUAUAGCCCACUUGCAAGAGACUUACAUUCCAUCGCUCCCUAAUUUCCCGUGUAACAUCUUAUCUUGCAUCACAUCAGAGACGUGUUCGUUUGCACAGCCAUUUCGUGAAUAUAAAAUUGCUGCCGAAUAAGCAUCUAAUCAAAAGAAUUUGUCAACGGUAUAAAUUAAAAUAUAAAAAACGAGUAAAAGAAUUUGUCAAUAGGAUAUGGGAGGCCAUGGCUUCAAUCGGUUUGUGCAAUGGUCAAUGGCAUAUUUUUGCUCAUCGUCACCACUGAAUCCACUGAUCAUUUGUGCAUGUGAGUUGUUUUUGAGCAUUUAUUUUUCCCUUUAGAAGCAUAAGGAUAAGGCUAGUCUUCUUUUUGGGAGGACUUAUUGCUUCCAUUCGUUAAAAUUGGGCAUGUAAAAUGUCAAGAAAAAAUGGCCUAAGUGGCUAGCUAGAUGAUAUAAUGGAUGGUUACUACUCAAACCUAGCAAUAAAUGAAUGUCCGACAAGCAUUCAAAUGAAUGAAUAAAACCAAUCAGAUUAGAAUAUCUAUUUAUGAUAGAUUAAUGAAAAUACGAUUCAAAUAUAAGGUAAAUAAUCUCUCCAUUAAUUUUUUAUUGUUUCAGGCAGGGUUGCCAAGCCUCUGUCCGGGCUUCUAUAAGCUCAAUUCCAGCUCUCCUAUAUGAUUGAAUUAGAUCGGGCUAGGCCCUCGGACUUUUUAAUUAAAAAAGGUCGAUUUUUAAGUUUAUGAAGUUAAUACACUCACGCUUAUACUUUAAUAUUUUUAUUAUUUGGCUUUUAGAAUAUUAACGUGUAAAUUACUUUUUUUUUUCAAGUGAAAUAAUUAUCACAUUUUGUCUUCUUAGUAUAUAUUUCUACCUUUUUGUUCCUAUAGAUAUUUCCUCAUUUCAUCUUUGGUACUAGAGCGUAGUAAAAAAACACAUGAUUAAAGAUAAAUAUGACAUUUUAACUAACAAAUUAAUUAUUUGUAUCUAAGAUCUAGCUCUAGUGGUAAAGAUCAAUUUUCAUCGAAUUCAAGUCUUGGGUUUGAAUUUAAAUGCAUGGGUAAGUUAAUAAUAAUAAUAAUAAUAAUAAUAAUAAUAAUAAUAUCAAAUUAACUAGCUUUAAUUUGCAAAGGUCUUAGAUAAUCAAUUCGCUUGUAAAAAUAUCAAAAUUUUUUUUAAUCAAUGAAAUUUUCAAGUCUCUAGUUUUAGCACAAGGAAUGAAUUAAAAGAGUAAUGAUAAAUAUUUUACAAUUUUAUCCCAAAUGAUAAGACAUGUCAUGUGUCAUGUAUUAAGUGAUUGAUGAUUUUUUUAUAAAUUUUAAGUGGAUGAAAUAUAUUAUUUCACCAACCAGUAAAUGAAUAUGACAUCAUUUGAGAAGGAAUUUUAUGGUACAAUUUUGAAAUAUUUAUCACUACUCAAUUAUAUACAGUAUAAAAAAUCUAAUAGGGACCAAAAAUAUAAAAACAGAUUAAGAAUAAAAAAUAUAAAAGUCAAUUCCUAAUUAGGAGAAUGAAAGUGUCAUUCCCCUGUAAUCAUUUCACUAGAUAUUAUGUAAAUAUAUUAAGGCAAAAUUUUAAUAGAAAAUUGGUACCCAAACCUAACGUCUUUGACAUUGCUGCCAAGAUCACUCACAACUUACAAGAAUAAAAAAUUGGUAUUAAAUUUAUUAAUGUUCUCAAGGAAUUUUUAGCUUGACUUUACAUUUCUCGGACCCAUUUGUCACAUAACACCUUAGUUCGUUAACAAAGCCCUUUCAUGAGAAUAUUAGAACUGCUGUCGAAUAAGCAUCUUAACAACCCCUUUUUGACAUACAUGCAUGCCUCCUUCUGUGAACAAUUUGAAACAUAAAAUAAAAUUUCAAUCGAUGUGAGGGUUGGAGUAUUUUAUAGCUUUUGACCUCAUUAAUUAUGAGUAAGAGAAUAUUUCUACGUCACUAAUGGUUAAAAUGAUCACUAUAUAAAGGGUAGCAAAGUAUGUUUAACAUCAAGUCAGAAAACACAAUUUUUAGGAAAUGGGAACUCGGGGACAAGCGAGGCAAUGGCCUCAAUUGUUUUGUGCUAUAGCAUUUUUGCUUAUAACCACCACCACCAAGGCAUCGGCUGAUGAUUAUGCCUCAGCACCACCACCAAAGUAUUCUUCUCCACCUCCUUACUACUACAAAUCACCACCUCCUCCUUCUCCCUCUCCACCUCCACCAUAUUAUUACAAGUCUCCCCCACCACCAUCUCCGUCUCCUCCACCACCUUACUACUACAAGUCACCACCACCACCAGUGCAUUCUCCCCCGCCACCUUAUUACUACAAAUCUCCGCCGCCACCAAAGUAUUCUCCCCCGCCACCUUAUUACUACAAAUCUCCACCGCCACCAAAGCAUUCUCCCCCACCACCUUACUACUACAAAUCUCCACCGCCACCAAAGCAUUCUCCUCCACCACCUUACUACUACAAAUCUCCACCACCACCAAAACACACCUUACUAUUAUAAAUCACCACCUCCACCAAUGAAGUCUCCACCUCCGCCAUAUUACUAUAAAUCACCACCACCACCAAAGCAUUCUCCCCCGCCACCUUACUACUACAAGUCUCCACCACCACCAAAACAUUCCCCACCACCACCUUACUACUAUAAGUCACCGCCUCCACCAGUAAAGUCUCCACCACCGCCCCCAAAGCAUUCUCCCCCACCACCUUAUUAUUACAAAUCACCACCUCCACCAGUGAAGUCUCCACCUCCGCCACCUUACUAUAAAUCACCACCACCUCCAAAGCAUUCUCCCCCUCCACCUUACUAUUAUAAAUCACCACCUCCACCAAUGAAGUCUCCACCUCCGCCAUAUUACUAUAAAUCACCACCACCACCAAAGCAUUCUCCCCCGCCACCUUACUAUUAUAGAUCUCCACCACCACCAAAGCAUUCUCCCCCACCACCUUACUACUAUAAGUCACCACCUCCACCGAAGAAAUCCCCACCUCCACCAUAUUAUUAUAAGUCGCCACCACCACCAAAGCAUUCUCCCCCACCUCCUUAUUAUUACAAAUCUCCACCACCACCAAAGUAUUCUCCACCACCACCUUACUAAUACAAAUCUCCACCAACGCUAUCUCUAUCCCCACCUCCAUCUUACAUUUAUAAAUUCCCACCUCCACCAUCUAUAUCACCUCCACCACCACCUCCAUCACUGUCACUAUUGCCUCGCUACUGUUCCAAGUCAUCACCACCUCCUGAAGACUACUAAGUUCAAUGUUCCGUCUUCAAACAAAUUUAAAAUUCAAUAAGAAUAAAUUUGUUCCUUCAGUUGCCUUUUUCAUGAAUUUUUAUGUUAAUGUUUUUACGAAUAAUUUUUAAGAAGCGUUCGGUGUAUCAUUGUCAUGUGCAAUAAAAAUUUUCUAACUUAAUGUACCCAAAAAAAAAUGUUCCACAAGAAAUAUUCUAUUGUUUUAUCACAAAUGUGUUGUGGCACAUGUAAUGCGCCUAGAUAAAGUAAUAUUAUGUCUUGAUGAACAAUCAUGCACAACAAUGAUCAUGUACAUAGUUCUUCCAAUGUCAUGAUAAUGUCCAUGCACAUAAUAACAAACUUCUUCCUUGUAAUAUCAAAGAAAAUGAAUAUACAAGCCUCUUAUUCUCUAAUCAUUCACUCAAACAACAUUGUUUUAAUUUAGGUUUUGAUCAAUCUUAAUGCUCAUAAAUGCUAACUACAAAUCAUAUACAAGAUCAACAAAAACCAUAUUUUAAAUGAAUUAGAAAAACAAACAUUAGACUUAACCAAGUAGUUAACCUUUAUUAUUCUCCUAGGUAGAUUACAAGCUAUCACUGAAAAAAAAAAUCAUCUAAAAUGGUGAACAAAUGCGCUCUAAAUCAGUUGCAUUCAUUUGUUCAGCUAAGCAAUAAAAUAACCCUUUUCCAUUUUAACUUAUAUACUUUGGCAUGGUAACUUUAAAUAACACCCUCAACUUGACAAAUUUUAAUAACCAAAGCGAUCAAUAACUGUAAAUCUUGACAAAAUUUUUUACUUUAGUUAAAGCCAUAAACAUAGUAUUAAAUAAAAUGAAAAAAAAGGCCAUAAACAUAGUGUUGAAAUACCUUUAUACUUGUGAACUAACUUUUGAUGUUGAUUAAGCUCAUGUACCCUCAACUUUUGUAUUAUGAAUAUGCUUAUGCCCUAUCUUAGGUCUCCUCUAUGAACUCCUCCAUGAACCACUUUUUUUUUUUUUUUUAAAAAAUAAAUUCAUUAUGAUACUAAGGUAUAAGCAGAAGUAAAAUUCCUUUAAUAUUAUUGUAAUCAGGAUGUGGCUACCUAGGUGAUACAUGAAUUGGUUAUUUGUACAUUUUACUACAUUUUUUUGAGUUUGCUUGCUAUUUUUCUCUUUGUUCCAAUAAUUCCCACACGAGGAUAAUCUCAUUUUAACAAAGAAAGAUACUACUGAAAUACAACAAAACAUAAAUUCUAAUAUACUAGAAAAUUUUUUUUUCUUUGCCUUUUCAUAUCUUAGAGUUAUGUUUUUAUCCUCUUGUAGUGGCAUAUAUGCAUUUUAACUAGAAUAUUCUUAUUUGAGAAUUAUUAAUAAGAGAGUGGUAGACAAAUGAUACAAAACUAUGCUGCUUCACGAUUAACAACACAUUCAAUCGAGUAACGAUAGAGAGUCAAUUCUAACACCACGAGAAAGCAAACAAAAGUUGAAAUAUUUUAGCGAAUACCUUUUAAAGUUUGAAUUAAUAAUAAAAUUGUCCCAAAAAACUGCCUUAAUGGAAUUAAUGUGGAGAUUUAGUGGUAGGGUGCAUCAAUAUCAUUUUCCAGAAAAAAAAUAGUCAAAAUAUGAAAGGUUUGUUCUGCAGGUGGUUGAUAUUGCUGUACAUUAAUAUCAAUGAUACGUACCAAAUUCUAUUAUAAAAUUCAUUAAUGUAUAAGUAGAAUAUUUAAUAAAUUAAUUCCGGGUAAAACGUCGGUGAUAUGAACAGUAGCGAAGCUGCAACCGGGUUAGCUUUUUUUUUUAAUAAAAAAAUAGUUAAUUAUAAUUUAUGAAUUUGCCUUUAUUAAUACUUAAAAAAAUAAAAAUAAAUUUAAUAGCCCACCCCGAUGCUAGCUAAGCUAAAAAUAAAAUAUAUCGAAUAAAUGGUGAAGAGAAAGCUGUAAUAAUUAUCGUAAUUACAGUGAGAAGCUGUAAUUUUCUUGAACACGCUUUGACGUACGAUUAGCAAAAAAGUCGUCUGUCUAUAAGCAAUUGGCCGUACAGCAUCUUAACUAUUCCGUUGACAUUGUAAUUAAUUAAUUGAUGACUUUUCUAUAAUUUCUUUGAACCAAAUGCAGAUAUUUAGUGGGCAACCCGCAACCCUUGCUUGGCAAAAUAUAGGAAAGAAAAACUUGAAAUUUAUAAAUGUUACAUUUUGUUUGGAUGAAUAAUUUUGAGAUAAUGUUUCAGUUUUAGAUUUUGUUACCGAUACCUAAUUAUAAUAAUAAAAAAUAUUGCAUCAUUUUUUUACCAACAGUUACAAUACAUUUUAUUUUUUUUUCUUCUCAAUAUUUAAACUCGAAUAAUCAGUUAAAAGUUGCUCGAGAAUGUUUAAAAGCCAUUUAAGUAUACCACGUCAUUCAUGUUUUGCAAUCAUUCAAUUGUUAAUAAGUUUCCCAUGUGCUGAAAAUAAAUAAAAAUGCACGUGCAUAUGUCAUAUUGUCUCCGAAACCUCACAGCGGAAUGAGUGUAGUACUUGCAAUGCAUGUACUUUAGACUUUGUAUUUCUCUUAUUUAAAUGAUCAAUAAUUUUUCUUUGUCCUUUAAUUAGACGUCAACAGUCGAAGUUGUGGGCAAGUAGUAGGCUAUAUAUAAUAAUUUCCUGGAGAUCUUCCGUCUUCUAAGACAUUGCAAAUGCCAAACGUGAUAACUAUUUUGAUAAUUCAAAUACUACAUAAAAUAUAUGAAGUGUCAGACAAGUCAAAAGAAUUGAUUCUUCACAAUUGUAUAUACGUAUACACACACUUUGCCCAAAUCCCAUUGUAUCCAGGCUGUAAUUUUUAUAUUAAACGAACAUAUUUUAUUUUAUGUCAGCAAUAUUGAUGCAGGCUGGUGGAACAACAGCUUCAGGAUGGUCAACUACCCUUCGGAUCAUUGCAAGUGGGAUGGCAUCACUUGCAAUUCAGAUGGAACCAUAAUCGGGCUAAAAUUAUCAGGGUAUGAUGUUGACUUCAAAAGGUAGUCUUCGUAAAAUUAUCAUGGUAUAAUAUACGUAUUUAUUUUCGCAUACAUAAAUAAAUAACAAAAUUGUAAUUAAUUGGAUACAACUUCAGCUUUUGGACUGGUUUGUGAAAAUCGGAAAAAUUUAAAAAUGCUCCUCUUGAACAAUCAAAAUCUACUUUAUACGUGAACAAAGGGGAUGAUUCGUAAAGAUAAUUCAUCAAUGUUUGAUUACUUUCAGAAAGAUAGACUUCAUUUGAUCUCGUCCCAAAGCAUAAUUUCACUUUGAAUUUGAAAAAGAAUAAUGAAGUUCAUACGAUGCUGUUGUGACCUUUUUUUUUUGUUUUCUUUUUUUCUCGACGUUGUUUUGUGAAUCAUAAGGGUUAAUUUAGUACGGUGGGUUCGCUUGUAUGAAGCGUACUUAUUGUACCAUUCUGUUGCAAGUAAUGAAAAAACGCUAUAAUUUUUUUUAGGUUUCUACAAGUAUUAUGUUAUCUUAUAUCUAACUGUGCAUCUCUAUUCUUUGCUCUCAGUUCAGGUUCUCUAAAAGUAUAUUAAUUAUGAAAAGCAUUAAAGGUUCCGAAACUCUAUUUUGCGGGGAAAAAGAACCUCCAUUUUUGGUUUUUUAUUAUCAUAAGAGGUUUUACUAUGCUCGUAAUAACUUAAUCGAAAUUAAACAUAUCACUGGUCUACAUUUUUUUAUCAGAUUUUGUGCCUUGCUAAUUAAGAUGAGUAUCACCAUCAAAUCAACAAGCUUAUACCUUCAAAGAAAAAUAGACUAUAAGUCGGGAGAAAGAAGAAGAAAAAAAAAAAGAAGCUUCGCAAUUUAUGCUGUUGGUUGUGAGUUCAUGAAACAAAUAAAAAUAUGAAAUCAAACAUUUAUUCAAAAUUUAAAAUUAAAAAAAAAACUCUAUAUCUACAGUAAUCUGUUCAAACCACAUAGGUGGAGCAAUAUAGUUCCAAGACGUGGUUUUAAAACAUGUCUUUGUGAUAAACAAUAUCGUGAUACUUGCGCCAAUUCCCAUGGCAAUAAUUGCCUACAUUUAUCCAAGAUCCAUGGCCAGGUUUAGAAUGUGCUAGUCUUCUUUCACUUUCAUAAAUAACCACUACUAGGUAAUCAGAGUGUCGGUCUAAAUUUUUCGGAGAUACAACGUCAAUGUAUGUGCCCGGAGUUGAAGCUGAACGCGCUUAAAUAUGUUCGGAAUUUGAAGUUGAACGCCUGGAAAAGGAUGCAGACUGAAGAAAGGCAAUUCCUGGAAUUUGUCUUUGGUAAGAAAACAUGGCUGCUUAUGCCCUUUGAAAGACUGAAGAAACCAAAUUGAUUAUUGCUGCAAUUUAGUGGCACAUGUACGAGGAGAGGCAUCCAAUUAAACUUGUUCAUAAAAGUAUUGCUGAUAGUUGCAGCCGAUCUCCAGACAAAAUCUUCGUACAAUUUUAUCCGCCAGCAAUUUCGACCAAGAGACCUUGAUGCAGUUCAGACCAAUUCGCCAGUUGAACAUCAAGUUGCCUAGGCAUUGAGAAUUAGGUCAAUAAAAUAUAUCCUGGGUCACUUACAAAAGAUGAAAUAAGUGAAAAAGGAAAGAUGACGUAAUAAUUUCUUAGUGAGAAAAGUUAGUUAAUUUUCAAUUGCUUUCAUUGUUUUGAUAAUUUUCAAAACAUUUCAUUGCUUUCAUUGCGUAAUUAAGCUUUUUUUGCUUCAAAAUAUUUCAAAUUGUGUUUGUGGGACUACUAAACAAUUAGGACACAACAAUGUUUCGUUCUGGUCUUUUUUUUUUUUUACUUUUUAAUUUAUUUUAAGAAAAUCUUUGUCCAUCUCUCAUCCUGCCAAAUAUAUCGUCUCGUCUUGUUAUCUAGAAUAAUUCUUCAUGCAUCAAUGAGUUUUGACAAAUUUUUAUCUUUUAAAAGUUGUUGUAAUUCAAUAUAGCUAAAAUCUUAAAUACAUACAUGUAGAAUAAUCUAAGCAUUACCUUAUUCGGGGAAAAUCGAGAUUAGAAUCAAUCAAAGCAAUGAUACCUUAUAUCAGUGAGAUAUAUGCAAGACUCACCCAUUGGUACAAACGAAAAUGAUCAAAGUGGAAGCAAAAAUGGAAUCCUCAAAUGUGGUGAUAAUUUAGAUGAUCUCCACUCUCCAUUUGGUUUCAUCUAAUAAGUUAGUGUUUAAUUAAGAAUUUAUUACUCAUUUUAUUAUGAUAUUAAUCAACUGCCGUCCCUUCCAUUAGUUCAUUAUUUUUGAUGGAUUACGAAAGACAGACAAUAAAAUUCUCCAAAACUGUUGUAAGAGUAAUAUUGUAAAAGUUACAUAAAAGUGAGGAUAAGGAUAAUUUGAGGUAUGUUUCAAGAUAUAAAGAUUAAAUAAAUUCUUAACUCAAAAUAAAGAGAUUUAUUUUUUUUAAAAGAGAUUAAAAUGUCAUGAUAAAUAAAUAAGGGAGGUGAUAUUCUGGGCUCUCCCCUGGCUUUUUGUGAUAACAUCUUAAAUUAAUAUAAAUAGUUAAAAUUUUAUUAAAAAAUAAAUUUUUACCUAAUACUCUUUGACAUAGCUAGGAAUAUAGCCUACUUGCAAGAGACUUACAUUCGUUUGCACAGCCCUUUCGUGAAUAUAAAAUUGCUGCCGAAUAAGCAUCUAAUUAAAAGAAUUAGGAAUUUGUCAACGGUAUAAAUUAAAUAUAAAAAACGAGUAAAAGAAUUUGUCAAUGGGAUAUGGGGGGCUAUGGCUUCAAUCGUAGGGGUGGGCAAAUUUCGGAUUCCGAAUCCGAUCGGAUUUUGGAUAAUUCGGAUUGGGAAAAAAUCCAUCCAAAUUCAAUCCGAACCUUAAAUCUGUUUCGAUCCGAGAUAAUUUCGGAUCCGGAUCAGAUUCGGAUGAGUUUGAAUUUCAGAUUAUAUUUCAAGUUCGGAUUAUAUUUUGGAUUCGGAUUAAUUCGGGUUUGGGACCUUUUUACAAUUCUCACAAAAAAAUUAUGAAAUUUAUAAUUAAUGAAAAAUAAUUUCCAUGAUGCUGUCAACAAUAAUUAAUAUUUUGAAAACGCAAUAACGGAAUUUUCAAAAAAAAGAAAAAGAAAACACAGGAACGGUAUUGAUAAAGAAUUUUCAUUAGCCAUUUGUGACUGCUAACUAAAUUGUAACAACUAAGUAAAAUAUAAUAAUAAUAAUAAUACAUGCGGGUAUAUUCAAAGCAACUAAAUCACUUGCGAAUGAUCAAGACAAAUCGUAUAAACAAGUAAAAAAUUCAAAGUUUCAAACGCAAAUCGUCGGGGGCUAUCGGAUUAGUGGAUUACCAUUAACAAGACGAGGUUUAUGUCGGUGUGAGUUGCUCAUUGUGGGUCUGGAUGAUGUCGCGAUGGCUGGGUUUGUGCCAACUAUGAUCCAGCUAGGUUUGUAUCGAAUCUGAUCUCGUCUAGAGGACGUUGUGGCGGCUGGGUUUGUGUCGAAUUCAUUCGGUUUGUCUCGUCGGCGACAUGGUUGUUGGUUGGCUCGUCAGGUUGUGGCCCGUGGGUGUGGUGUGGUUUGUUGUCGUGGAUUGACUUAUCAAAGGGCGUGCGACGAUGGUGUGUGGUUUUGUCAUUUGGAAAUUGAGUUUUGAUUUUUCAUUUUCGUUUUUUUAAAAAAAAAUUUUUGGAUUAUUCGGAUUGAACUGAAUCUUAUCCGAUCCAAAUCAAAUCCGAUCAGAUUACAAAAAUUUCAUCCGAUUGGAUUUUAAAGCAAAUCCAAAUCCGAUCCGAACAAAUUCGGAUCGAAUUGGAUUAGAUCGGAUCUAUCCGAAUCUGAUCCAAUGUCCACCCCUAUUCAAUCGGUUUCUGCAAUGGUUAAUGGCAUAUUUUUGCUCAUCGUCACCACUGCAUUCACUAAUCAUUUGUGCACGUGAAUUGUUUUUGAGCAUUUAUUUUGCCUUCGUUAAAAUUGGGCAUGUAAAAAUUUCAUGAAAAAUGGCCAAAGUGGCUGGCUAGGUGAUAUAAUGGAUGGUUACAACUCAAACCUAGCAAUAAAUGAAUGUCCGACAAGCAUUCAAAUGAAUGUAUAAAACCAAUGAGAUUAGAAUAUCUAUUUAUAAUAGACUAAUUAAAAUACGAUUCAAAUAUAAGGUAAAUAGUCUCUCUAUUAAUUUUUUAUUGUUUCAGGUAGGGUUGUCGAGCCUUUGUCCGGGCUUCUGUAAGCCCAUUUCCAGCCCUCUUAUAUGAUUGGAUUAGAUCAGGCUCGGCCCACCAGGCCGGGCUAAAUCUUGAGCUCUUUUUAAAUAAAAAAAAGUUGAAUUUUAAGUUUUUGAAGUUAAUAUAUAUACACACACACUUGUACUUAAAUAAUUUAUAAAUUUUUUAAAAGCCAAAUAAUAAAAAUAUUGACAUGUAAAAGUACAAUUUUUUUUUCAUGUGGAAUAAUUAUCUCAUUUCUACCUUUUUGGUCCUAUAGAUAUUUCCUCAUUUCAUCUUUGGUAUUAGAGCAGUAGUAAAAAGACACACGAUUAAAGAUAAAUGUGACAUUUUUACCGACAAAUUAACUAUUUGGAUCUAAGAUCUAGCUCUAAUGGUAAAGACUAGUUUUUAUAGAAUUCAGGUCCUGGGUUUGACUUCCAAUUGCGUGGGUAAGCUAAUAAUAAUAAUAAUAAUAAUAACAAAUUAACUAGUUUUAAUUUGCAAAGGUCUUAGAUAAUCAAUUCGUUUGUAAAAACAUCAAAUUUAUUUUCAGUAAUGAAAUUUUCAAGUCACUGGUUUUAGCACUAGGAAUGAAUUAAAUAGAGUAAUGAUAAACAUCUUAAAAUUUUAUCCCAAAUGAUAUGACAUGUAAUGUGUCAUUUAUUAAGUGGUUGGUGAUUUUUCAUAAAUUUUAAGUCGAUUAAUUAUAUUAUUUCACCAACCAAUAAAUGAACAUCACAUCAUUUGAGAAUGAAUUUUAAGGUAAAAUUUUAGAUAUAUAUCAUUACUCAAUUAUUUUUUAUAGUAUAAAAUCUAAUAGGGACCAAAAAUAUAAAAACCAAUUAAGAAAAAAAAAGUCAAUUCCUAAUUAGAAGAAUGAAAGUGUCAUUCUCCUAUAAUCAUUUCUCAAGUUUUUAUAUAAAUUUAUUAAUGCAAAAUUUUAAAAGAAAAUCGGUACCUAAAACUAACGCCUUUGACAAUGCUGCCAAUAUCACUCACAACUUACAAGAAUAAAGAAUUUGUAUUAAAUUUAUUAAUGUUCUCAAAGAAUUUUUAGUUUUGACUUUACAUUCUCAGACCCAUUUGUCACAUAACAUCUUAGCUGAUUAACAAAGCCCUUUCGUGAGAAUAUUAAAACUGCUCUCGAAUAAGCAUCUUAACAACCCCGUUUUUGACAUACAUGCAUGCCUCCUCAUGUCAGCAAAUUUGAAACAUAAAAGAUAAUUUCAAUCGAUGUGAGAGUUGGGAGUAUUUUAUAGCUUUUGACCUCAUUAAUUAUGAGUAAGAGAAUAUUUCUACGUCACUAAUGAUUAAAAUGAUCACUAUAUAUAUAAAGGGUAGCAAAGUAUGUUUAACAUCAAGUCAGAAAACACAAUUUUUAGGAAAUGGGAACUCGGGGACAGGCGAGGCAAUGGCCUCAAUUGUUUUGUGCUAUAGCAUUUUUGCUUAUAGCCACCACGACCAAGGCAUCGGCUGAUGAUUAUGCCUCAGCACCACCACCAAAGUAUUCUUCUCCACCUCUUUACUACUACAAAUCACCACCUCCUCCUUCUCCCUCUCCACCUCCACCAUAUUAUUACAAGUCUCCCCCACCACCAUCUCCGUCUCCUCCACCACCUUACUACUACACGUCACCACCGCCACCAGUGCAUUCUCCCCCGCCACCUUACUACUACAAGUCACCACCGCCACCAGUGCAUUCUCCUCCGCCACCUUACUACUACAAAUCUCCGCCGCCACCAAAGCAUUCUCCCCCGCCACCUUACUACUAUAAGUCACCACCACCACCAGUGCAUUCUCCCCCGCCACCUUAUUACUACAAAUCUCCGCCGCCACCAAAGUAUUCUCCCCCGCCACCUUAUUAUUACAAAUCUCCGCCGCCACCAAAGCAUUCUCCUCCACCACCUUACUACUACAAAUCUCCACCACCACCAAACCAUUCUCCCCCACCACCUUACUACUAUAAGUCACCACCACCACCAAAGCAUUCUCCCCCACCUCCUUAUUACUACAAAUCUCCACCACCACCAAUGUAUUCUCCACCACCACCUUACUAAUACAAAUCUCCGCCAUCGCCAUCUCUAUCCCCGCCUCCAUCUUACAUUUAUAAAUUCCCACAACCAUCAUCUAUACCACCUCCACCAUGACCUCUAUCACGGUCAUUAUUGCUUCCUUACUACUCCAAGUCACCGCCAACUCCUUUAUCUCCACCUUCACCGUAUUACUACAAUCACCCCCACCUCCCAAAGACUACUACGUUCAGUAUCCCUUCUUGAAACAAGUUUAAAAUUCAAUAAGAAUAAAUUUGUUCCUUUGGUUGCCUUUUUUUUUAAUUUUUUACUAAGUUCAAUGCCCCUUCUUGAAACAAGUUUCAAAUUCAAUAAGAAUAAAUUUGUUCCUUUGGUUGCCUUUUUAUGCUUUUUUGUGUCAAUUUUUUUACAAAUAAUUUGUAAGAAGCGUUCAGUGCAUCAUUUGUCAUGUGCAAUAAAAAUCUUCUAACUUAAUGUAUCCCCAAAAAAAAAAAAAAAAAUUGUUCUAUAAGAAUUAUUCUAUUGUUUUAUCACAAAUGUGUUGUGGCGCAUAUAAUGCUCCCGGAUGAAGUAAUAUUAUGUCUUGAUGAACAAUCAUGCACAACAAUGAUCAUGUACAUAGUUCUUCCAACGUCAUGAUAAUGUCCAUGCACAUAAUAACAAACUUCUUCCUCAUAAUAUCAAAGAAAAUGAAGAUACAAGCCUCUUAUUCUUUAGUCAUUCACUCAAACAACAUUGUUUUAACUUAGGUUUUGAUCAAUCUUAAUGCUAAUAAAUGCUAACUACAUAUCAAAUACAAGAUCAACAAAAACCAGAUUUUAAAUUAAUCAGAAAAACAAACACUAGACUUAACCAAGCAGUUAAGCUUUAUUAUUCUCCCUCAGUAAAGGAUACAAAGAUGUAGGUGGAUUACAAGCUAUCACUGAAAAAAUAGAAAUCAUCUAAAAUGGUGAACAAAUGAGCUCUAAAUCUGUUGCACUCAUUUGUUCAACUAAGCAAUGAAAUUACCCUUUUCUAUUUUAACUGCUUGUCUACUUUAACACGGCAACUUUAAAUAACAACCUUCAACUUGAAAAAUUUGAGUAACCAGAGCCAUCAAUAACGGUAAAUCUUGACAAAAAUUUUAGUUUAAUUAAGGCCAUAAACAUAAUAUUAAAUAAUAAAAAAAAAAGGCCAUAAACAUAGUGUUGAAAUACCAUUAUACCUGUGAACGAACUUUUGAUGGUUAUUAAACUCAUGAACCCUCAAUUUUUGUAUUAUGAAUAUGCUCAUGGCCUAUCUUAGGUCUCCUCUAUGAACCACUUUUUUUUUAAAAAAAUUAUAUUCAUUAUGAUACUAAGGUAUAAGUAGAAGUAAAGUUCUUUUAAUAUUUUUGUAACCAGGAUGUGACAACCUAGGUGAUACGUGAAUUGGUUAUUUGCACAUUUUGCUACAUUUUUGUGAGUUUGCUUGCUGGUUUUCUCUUUGUUCCAACAAUUCACACAUAGGAUAAUCUCAUUUUAACAAAGAAAGAUACCACUAAAAUACAACAAAACAUGAUCAAUUCUAAUAUACUAGAAAACUUUUUUUUUUUGUUUGCCUUUUCAUAUAUUAGAGUUGUGUUUUUGUUAUCUUAUAGUGGCAUCUAUGCAGUUUAACUAAAUGAGAAUAUUCUCAUUUGAGAAUUAUUAAUAAGAGAGUAGUAGACAAAUGAUACCCAACUAUACUGCUUCACUAUUAACAACACAUCCAAUUGAGUAAUGAUAGAGAGUCAAUUCUAUCACCAAAUGAAAGCAAACAAAAGCUGAAAUAUUUUAGUGAAUAUCUUUAAAGUUUGAAUUAAUAAUAAAAUUGUCCCAAAAAACUGUCUUAAUGGAACUAAUGUGCGAUUUAUUUGUAGGGUGAAUAAAUAUCAUUUUCCAGAAAAAAAUAUAGUCAAAAUAUGGAAAGCUUGUUCUGCAAGUGGUUGAUAUUGAUGUACAUUAAUGUCAAAGAUACAUUAAGUGCAUGCCAAAUUCUAUUAUAAAAUUUAUAAAUGUAUAAGUAGAAGAUUUUAUAAAUUAAUUCCUGUAAAACGUCGGUUAUAUGAAUAAAUGGUGAAGAGAAAGCUGUAAUAAUUAUCGUAAUUACAAUUUUCUUGAGCACGCUUUGACGUACGAUUAACAAAAAAGGUCUGUAUAUGAGCAAUCGGCCGUACAUUAUCUUAACCACCUGAUUUUGUUUUUUUUUUUUGUAAUUUCAAUCUUGGCCGUUGGAGUCAAUGAAAAGAUCGUUCAAAUGGUAGAGAUUUGUCUAUUUGAUUAUUAACAUUAUGCUUCCCGAUGGUUAUCAAAAACCCAAACAAAUUAAAGAGUUAAAACUUUUAGCACAUAAGUCCGAAUUGUUUCAAAUUUAUGUUGUUUAAUCACUAGUGAGUCUCAAAAAAUAAAUUUAUUUUAAUAUUAUAUAUUUUAUUUAAAAGAAUUAAUUUUUUAUAUCAUUUAUUUUAUUAAAAAUAAAUAUUAUUGAAUACUAAUUAUUCUCAUUUUAUUUAAUAUUAUUUAGUUAUAGGCUUAUUAUUAUAUUUAAUUGUUCAAAAAACUAAAAAAAUUUAAAUAAAAUAAAGUAAUUGAUGGUUGUCGAAGCCAACAAAAAUAAAUUCCUACUCUAAAUAAAUUGUGUAUAGUGAUUGAGCAGGGUCGUGUCCACAGAGAUCGGUAAUUAUUUAAAUCCUUUUGAAACGUAAAACGUAAAAUGGGGGAAUUGUUGACAAUAAUAAAAAUCAAAUUAAAAUAACAAGAAUGCAAAUUAAAGUUGUAAUUCAAAUUGGAGAAAGCUCUGGUUGAAGGAAUUAACUCAGCUUGAUUCGACUACUGAUCAUUGAUUCAAAUAUAGAUUAUUAUUACUCAUGAAUAGACCGGUUAUAGCUACUGAGACCCUCUAAUAGCCAAUCUCUCCUUAACUAGUCGAUAACCAAGGUACGACCGUUGGAUAUUCCCUAAUCAAUAGACAACCCUAGAUACGAUCAUAGAAUUUAAUCAAUUGACAGCCUGAAAAACCAGAAAGACCCAAAUCCUAAUCAACACAUAUGAUGAUUCAUUUAAAUUAAAUUGUUUAUUCUCACAACACAACUCUCUGCUAUGUCAUUUGUCACAAACAUUAAAUUCUUCAUACGAUGAAUCCCUUAAUUGACAAUAGAUUAAGUUGAUAAUUAAAUAGUGGCCAACUGCUGUACGGCCAAGGCGGAUGUACGGUACAGCAGAAUACAUUCCCUUACUCAACUAACAAAGUCUUUCAUUUAUCUGAAAACAGUUCCAAUUUUGAAAUAUCAGUGUCAAACUUUUCCCAGCAACAUAUUUAUCAUCUCUCCACAUUAUCCUUAACUGACAGCAGCUUGGAAGAUCUUCAAUCAGCAAGUUCAGAAAGCAAUGAACAAGUACCUUCUGUUUCUGCACACACAAAUAAUCUGCAUCAACAAGAGCAUUCUNNNNNNNNNNNNNNNNNNNNNNNNNNNNNNNNNNNNNNNNNNNNNNNNNNNNNNNNNNNNNNNNNNNNNNNNNNNNNNNNNNNNNNNNNNNNNNNNNNNNNNNNNNNNNNNNNNNNNNNNNNNNNNNNNNNNNNNNNNNNNNNNNNNNNNNNNNNNNNNNNNNNNNNNNNNNNNNNNNNNNNNNNNNNNNNNNNNNNNNNNNNNNNNNNNNNNNNNNNNNNNNNNNNNNNNNNNNNNNNNNNNNNCAGCAGAAUAAAAUAUUAUUAAUUUUAUUUUUUUUAUUUUGCUAUCUUACUAAUAAUUGGCAAUAAUAAUAAUAAUAAUAAUAAUAAUAAUAAUAUCUUUAAGGUUAAUGAUUUUAUUUUCUAAUUAAUAUGGAUAAUUUUAGAUUUUUAUAAUAUAUAUGACGAUAAACACGAAAUUAAGUAUAAAACUAAUUCUCAAAAUCCGAUUUUAAAAAUCUACUUUUUCCCUACUUUUUAAAAUCUUCAGUAAGAUAAGGUAAAUUUACCAAAAGUGAUUUCUGAAAAUAUUUAUCAAAUAAUAAAAUUAAUUUGUAACUUUUCAAAAUAACUUUUAAAUCUCGCAAAAAAAAAUCCUAAAUGAGUCCUAAGUACCUAACUUUAUGACGGUCAACAAAUAUGGUAUAAAAGUCUUCUACACCUACUGGGCAUUUGAAUGGGCCAUCUGUCUUAGCUCUUACCUCUUAAAAUGGGCUAAAAAUCAGAGAGUCAGUUAACUAAUAUGGGCUAAAAUUUGGGUACACCUCUCGGGCAUGUUAAUGGGCCAUCAUCUUUCACAGGUUUCUAAAGGGUAAAGGCUUUCUGUCUCCCAAGACUUCGACUAGUGAAAUUUAAUCGAUAUAAAUAUGUAGCUACCUAUAUUUAUAUAAGAAAAUGAUGUUCUCAUAAAUUUGCGUGCAAAGAUUUGCACAAAACGGUGCGUUUUGUGCAGCUUUAAAAAUGCUCUUCGUACGUGCACCAAACAACACACAAGCACGCCAAUUCACAACAUCAUUUUCCCACUCGCGUCUGCCUCCUUUCACUGCAACAAAAACCCAGCAGCUUCGUUCUCCACACAGCAAGAAGUCUCCUUAUUAAUAUAAUAUUAUAUAAUAAACUCAACAGAAGUCUCCUUUCUUCCUCCAUUUUUCCUCACGAGAUAGCUCCGAUCUCUCUCCCUCCGUCCUCCUUUCUUCCUUACAAGACAGCUCGGGUCUCUCUCUCUGGCCUCCUUUCUCCCUCACAAGAUAGUUCGGAUCUCUCUUUCCAGUCUCCACGCCGCUAAUAGUCCCAGUUCUAACCUCUCUCGCCCCGCAGCAACCAUAAGAUCUCUCUCUCACCCGUUUCAAUUCAUUGCUCUAAUUGAAAUCUUUAACUCGUUUAGGACAUUGUGCUGAAUUACCUAUGGAUGGUGGUGGUCUUAUGCUUGAGUGUUGUAAAUUAGAAUCAAAUUAUGCAAAACCUGAUGCCUUUGGGAAUCAUGUUUAUUUCAAGCUUCUAUGUUGUGAUUUGAUUAUUUGAUGAAGCACCUGGAAAAUGUAGUUUGCUCCCUCAAAUUAUUUUACUCUGUUGAAUAAAUUGUAUUUGCCAUUAUUUGAAAAGAAUUUAAAAAAAAAUUACAGCCCCGAAACAUUGAGCUUAUGCUAUAAUUUAAGCAUCUCCCUCAUUUAUAGCACAUUUAUUUUCAUAAUUUACGCGACAAUGGAGAACGGAGCCGAGACUGUUAGUGGCAUGGGGAUGAGAGAGAAAAAUAUGAGCUGUUUCGUGAGGUUUUGUUAGGUUUCGUGAGGGAGAAAGGAGAUGGGAGAGAGAGACGCUGAGUUUUGUUGCUCCCCUCACUUGUGUGUGUUUGGUGUUAAAACUUUGCAGCAAAGAGUGGCUUUUAUACUUUGCACAAAACGCACCGUUUUGUGCAAAGUUUUGUGCAAAGUGUUGUGAGAACAUCAUUUUCCAUUUAAAUAUUGGCUUUUCAUUUUUUUUCAAAUGAGAAUUGAUCCAGUGUGCACCAUCAUGCACAGCACAAGGUAUAUUUUCAUCAGUGGGCGCUAGGUCUCAUAGAUUGGUUCUCUCUAAUAAGAACAUGUCGUCUGUUGUCCCGCGCUAGAUCGAAUGCGUUUUCAAAUUUGUCAAAUUACAUUUUGAGCAUGUCAUAGUGGACGUUAUUACAAAGUCGUCAAUCUCAAUACAAUAAUCAUGACAUCAGGUUUUGAGAAUGUGAAUAAAACUCAUAUUUAUUUGAUAAAAUAUAAUUUAAAAAUAAAAAUAAAAUAUGUAUAUUCUAUAUAAUUUGAUAAUAAAAAAUAGAAAUCUCAUUUUUAUAUUGGGUUGGGAAUGAGGAUUCCUAUUUCUUGAACUGACUUUUAUAUCUCUCUAUUUUUUUCAUAUUUUUUAAAUUAUUCUCGUUUAAAUCACAAUUAAUUUGAUUACUGCUGUACGGCCAAGGCGGAUGCAAUAGAAUUGCACCUACAAAAGUAAAACAUAAGUAAAUCACUAUUAUUAAGUGCAAAACAUUGAUAUUAAGGGAAGUAAAUAAUGCAAAACUAGUGCAUAAAUUGCACUCUAACAGUAAUCAGUAAUCAGCAUUAAAAAUUAAAUUAAAUUAAAUUUUUUUGUUUUUAAUAUUAUUUAGUUAUAGACUUAUUAUUAUAUUUAUUCGUUCAUAAAACUAAAUAAUGUUAAAUCAAAUAAAAUAAUCAGGAAUGGUUCUUAAAAAAUUAAUAUUAUUUAUUUUAUUUUAUUUAAUAUUAUUUAGUCAUAGCCUAUUAUUCUGUUUAUUUUUUGAAAAUUAAAUAAUAUUAAAUAAAAAUCCCCCCUUUUCACAAUAGAUUCCUCCCUUCAAUACUCUCUCUCUCCUCUCUUUUAGAAUUCUAUUUAAAAUAAAAUACUAAUAUCUGAAAUAUUAAAUUCGUAAUUACAAAAAUAACCAAAAAUACAAAAUACGUUAAACUAAAAACUGCAGGUCCGCAGUUGACAGCACGCGCCCACGCCUUAUCAACAAAGUUCUUCUGACGCUCAUAAUUUCUCCAAGAGAACAAUCAUCCUUAAACAUCAUCUUAUAGCUCAAUUUUAUCAUCAAUCAAUAGAAUUACACCUACAAAAGUAAAACACAAGUAAAACAUUAUUAUUAAGUGCAAAACAUCGAUAUUAAGGGAAGUAAACAAUGCAAAACUAGUGCAUAAAUUGCACUCUAACAAAUUCCCCCACACCAAGAUGAUGCUUGUCCUCAAGCAUAUAACUCAAGACUAAUCUCAAAUCUCCACUAAAUUCUCAUCUCAACUCAUCCAAAAAUAAUUUUAAGCAAGCAUACCUCAAGAAAUUAAGUCGAUCAACAUUCGAGAGACAAGGAUUUUUAAAGCAUAGAAUCUCAUAAGAUAGAAUAAGAACAUUCAACCACCAAGAAGAUCCAUUCAAAAUUCAAGUGCAACAAGAUGUAAUAGCCCUCUCAAUAACUUCACUCCAUGCACUCAAAGUGUUUAGGGUAUCAUUUAUGCACUCAAAUCAAAUCAAAGAAUGCUAUUACCAUAAGCUUGCUCAUAUAUCACAUCUCAAUCCACAAAACAUGAAUAAAAUGAAAAAAUCUAAGGGUCUUAAAAGGGUUGUAAUGGGGUUAAAUAGGUUAAAUGAAAAAGAAAGGUCUAUGAAAGAAAAAGAGAUCAAAAUGAGAAGAAUGAACUCAUUGAAUGAACUUAUGAUAUCAAAAUGCUCCUUGGCCGUACAGCAGGAAUGGUUCUUAAAAAAUUAAUAUUAUUUAUUUUAUUUUAUUUAAUAUUAUUUAGUCAUAGCCUAUUAUUCUGUUUAUUUUUUGAAAAUUAAAUAAUAUUAAAUAAAAUAGAAUAGAAAAUGUGAGUCCUUAAAAAUAAAAAUUAUUUUUAAUAUUAUUUAUUUUAUUUAAAAGAAUAAAUUUUUUAAUAUUUUUAUUUUAUUAAAAAAUAUUAUUUAAUAUUAUCUAGUCAUAGGCUUAUUAUUAUAUUUCUUCUUUUAGAAAGUUAAAUAGUAUUAAAUGAAAUAAAAUUACAUUUUAGAAGGUCAUUAGCCAAAGCACAUAAACUUAUAAACAAAUGGAAAUAAAAAAGGUAAAUAAUAUUCAAUAAAAUAAAAUUACAUUUUAAAAGGUCACCAACCAAAGCACAUAAUAUUAUAACAAAAAUGUAAAUAAAAAAGAAAGUAAGAGAUUCAAUGAAAUUUAACAUCACAAAAGACAAUUUCAAAAAUUGGGGGUAGCUUGCAACUGUUGCAAAGUGGCUGGUUCCAUAAUUUUGAGAUAAUGUUUCGGUUUCAAAUAUUGUUAUCGAUACCUAAUUAUAAGUAAUAAAAAAAUAUUGUAUAAUUUUUUUACCAACAUUUACAAUACAUUUUAUUUUGAUUUCUGAAAAAAAUAGAUAAAACACAAAUUAAUUAUUUUAACCCUCUAUUCUCUCAAUAUUUAAACUCGAAUAAUCAGUUAAAAGUUGCUCGAGAAUGUUUAAAAGCCAUUUAAGUAUACCACGUCAUUCAUGUUUUGCAAUCAUUCAAUUGUUAAUAAGUUUCCCAUGUGCUGAAAAUAAAUAAAAAUGCACGUGCAUAUGUCAUAUUGUCUCCGAAACCUCACAGCGGAAUGAGUGUAGUACUUGCAAUGCAUGUACUUUAGACUUUGUAUUUCUCUUAUUUAAAUGAUCAAUAAUUUUUCUUUGUCCUUUAAUUAGACGUCAACAGUCGAAGUUGUGGGCAAGUAGUAGGCUAUAUAUAAUAAUUUCCUGGAGAUCUUCCGUCUUCUAAGACAUUGCAAAUGCCAAACGUGAUAACUAUUUUGAUAAUUCAAAUACUACAUAAAAUAUAUGAAGUGUCAGACAAGUCAAAAGAAUUGAUUCUUCACAAUUGUAUAUACGUAUACACACACUUUGCCCAAAUCCCAUUGUAUCCAGGCUGUAAUUUUUAUAUUAAACGAACAUAUUUUAUUUUAUGUCAGCAAUAUUGAUGCAGGCUGGUGGAACAACAGCUUCAGGAUGGUCAACUACCCUUCGGAUCAUUGCAAGUGGGAUGGCAUCACUUGCAAUUCAGAUGGAACCAUAAUCGGGCUAAAAUUAUCAGGGUAUGAUGUUGACUUCAAAAGGUAGUCUUCGUAAAAUUAUCAUGGUAUAAUAUACGUAUUUAUUUUCGCAUACAUAAAUAAAUAACAAAAUUGUAAUUAAUUGGAUACAACUUCAGCUUUUGGACUGGUUUGUGAAAAUCGGAAAAAUUUAAAAAUGCUCCUCUUGAACAAUCAAAAUCUACUUUAUACGUGAACAAAGGGGAUGAUUCGUAAAGAUAAUUCAUCAAUGUUUGAUUACUUUCAGAAAGAUAGACUUCAUUUGAUCUCGUCCCAAAGCAUAAUUUCACUUUGAAUUUGAAAAAGAAUAAUGAAGUUCAUACGAUGCUGUUGUGACCUUUUUUUUUUGUUUUCUUUUUUUCUCGACGUUGUUUUGUGAAUCAUAAGGGUUAAUUUAGUACGGUGGGUUCGCUUGUAUGAAGCGUACUUAUUGUACCAUUCUGUUGCAAGUAAUGAAAAAACGCUAUAAUUUUUUUUAGGUUUCUACAAGUAUUAUGUUAUCUUAUAUCUAACUGUGCAUCUCUAUUCUUUGCUCUCAGUUCAGGUUCUCUAAAAGUAUAUUAAUUAUGAAAAGCAUUAAAGGUUCCGAAACUCUAUUUUGCGGGGAAAAAGAACCUCCAUUUUUGGUUUUUUAUUAUCAUAAGAGGUUUUACUAUGCUCGUAAUAACUUAAUCGAAAUUAAACAUAUCACUGGUCUACAUUUUUUUAUCAGAUUUUGUGCCUUGCUAAUUAAGAUGAGUAUCACCAUCAAAUCAACAAGCUUAUACCUUCAAAGAAAAAUAGACUAUAAGUCGGGAGAAAGAAGAAGAAAAAAAAAAAGAAGCUUCGCAAUUUAUGCUGUUGGUUGUGAGUUCAUGAAACAAAUAAAAAUAUGAAAUCAAACAUUUAUCCAAAAUUUAAAAUUAAAAAAAAACUCUAUAUCUACAGUAAUCUGUUCAAACCACAUAGGUGGAGCAAUAGAGUUCCAAGACGUGGUUUUAAAACAUGUCUUUGUGAUAAACAAUAUCGUGAUACUUGCGCCAAUUCCCAUGCCAAUAAUUGCCUACAUUUAUCCAAGAUCCAUGGCCAGGUUUAGAAUGUGCUAGUCUUCUUUCACUUUCAUAAAUAACCACUACUAGGUAAUCAGAGUGUCGGUCUAAAUUUUUCGGAGAUACAACGUCAAUGUAUGUGCCCGGAGUUGAAGCUGAACGCGCUUAAAUAUGUUCGGAAUUUGAAGUUGAACGCCUGGAAAAGGAUGCAGACUGAAGAAAGGCAAUUCCUGGAAUUUGUCUUUGGUAAGAAAACAUGGCUGCUUAUGCCCUUUGAAAGACUGAAGAAACCAAAUUGAUUAUUGCUGCAAUUUAGUGGCACGUGUACAAGGAGAGGCAUCCGAUUAAACUUGUUCAUAAAAUUAUUGCUGAUAGUUGCAGCCGAUCUCCAUGAAGUACAAACCCAACGCAAAGAAACAAAGUGUUCGUACAAUUUUAUCCGCCAGCAAUUUCGACCAAGAGACCUUGAUGCAGUUCAGACCAAUUCGCCAGUUGAACAUCAAGUUGCCUAGGCAUUGAGAAUUAGGUCAAUAAAAUAUAUCCUGGGUCACUUACAAAAGAUGAAAUAAGUGAAAAAGGAAAGAUGACGUAAUAAUUUCUUAGUGAGAAAAGUUAGUUAAUUUUCAAUUGCUUUCAUUGUUUUGAUAAUUUUCAAAACAUUUCAUUGCUUUCAUUGCGUAAUUAAGCUUUUUUUGCUUCAAAAUAUUUCAAAUUGUGUUUGUGGGACUACUAAACAAUUAGGACACAACAAUGUUUCGUUCUGGUCUUUUUUUUUUUUUACUUUUUAAUUUAUUUUAAGAAAAUCUUUGUCCAUCUCUCAUCCUGCCAAAUAUAUCGUCUCGUCUUGUUAUCUAGAAUAAUUCUUCAUGCAUCAAUGAGUUUUGACAAAUUUUUAUCUUUUAAAAGUUGUUGUAAUUCAAUAUAGCUAAAAUCUUAAAUACAUACAUGUAGAAUAAUCUAAGCAUUACCUUAUUCGGGGAAAAUCGAGAUUAGAAUCAAUCAAAGCAAUGAUACCUUAUAUCAGUGAGAUAUAUGCAAGACUCACCCAUUGGUACAAACGAAAAUGAUCAAAGUGGAAGCAAAAAUGGAAUCCUCAAAUGUGGUGAUAAUUUAGAUGAUCUCCACUCUCCAUUUGGUUUCAUCUAAUAAGUUAGUGUUUAAUUAAGAAUUUAUUACUCAUUUUAUUAUGAUAUUAAUCAACUGCCGUCCCUUCCAUUAGUUCAUUAUUUUUGAUGGAUUACGAAAGACAGACAAUAAAAUUCUCCAAAACUGUUGUAAGAGUAAUAUUGUAAAAGUUACAUAAAAGUGAGGAUAAGGAUAAUUUGAGGUAUGUUUCAAGAUAUAAAGAUUAAAUAAAUUCUUAACUCAAAAUAAAGAGAUUUAUUUUUUUUAAAAGAGAUUAAAAUGUCAUGAUAAAUAAAUAAGGGAGGUGAUAUUCUGGGCUCUCCCCUGGCUUUUUGUGAUAACAUCUUAAAUUAAUAUAAAUAGUUAAAAUUUUAUUAAAAAAUAAAUUUUUACCUAAUACUCUUUGACAUAGCUAGGAAUAUAGCCUACUUGCAAGAGACUUACAUUCGUUUGCACAGCCCUUUCGUGAAUAUAAAAUUGCUGCCGAAUAAGCAUCUAAUUAAAAGAAUUAGGAAUUUGUCAACGGUAUAAAUUAAAUAUAAAAAACGAGUAAAAGAAUUUGUCAAUGGGAUAUGGGGGGCUAUGGCUUCAAUCGUAGGGGUGGGCAAAUUUCGGAUUCCGAAUCCGAUCGGAUUUUGGAUAAUUCGGAUUGGGAAAAAAUCCAUCCAAAUUCAAUCCGAACCUUAAAUCUGUUUCGAUCCGAGAUAAUUUCGGAUCCGGAUCAGAUUCGGAUGAGUUUGAAUUUCAGAUUAUAUUUCAAGUUCGGAUUAUAUUUUGGAUUCGGAUUAAUUCGGGUUUGGGACCUUUUUACAAUUCUCACAAAAAAAUUAUGAAAUUUAUAAUUAAUGAAAAAUAAUUUCCAUGAUGCUGUCAACAAUAAUUAAUAUUUUGAAAACGCAAUAACGGAAUUUUCAAAAAAAAGAAAAAGAAAACACAGGAACGGUAUUGAUAAAGAAUUUUCAUUAGCCAUUUGUGACUGCUAACUAAAUUGUAACAACUAAGUAAAAUAUAAUAAUAAUAAUAAUACAUGCGGGUAUAUUCAAAGCAACUAAAUCACUUGCGAAUGAUCAAGACAAAUCGUAUAAACAAGUAAAAAAUUCAAAGUUUCAAACGCAAAUCGUCGGGGGCUAUCGGAUUAGUGGAUUACCAUUAACAAGACGAGGUUUAUGUCGGUGUGAGUUGCUCAUUGUGGGUCUGGAUGAUGUCGCGAUGGCUGGGUUUGUGCCAACUAUGAUCCAGCUAGGUUUGUAUCGAAUCUGAUCUCGUCUAGAGGACGUUGUGGCGGCUGGGUUUGUGUCGAAUUCAUUCGGUUUGUCUCGUCGGCGACAUGGUUGUUGGUUGGCUCGUCAGGUUGUGGCCCGUGGGUGUGGUGUGGUUUGUUGUCGUGGAUUGACUUAUCAAAGGGCGUGCGACGAUGGUGUGUGGUUUUGUCAUUUGGAAAUUGAGUUUUGAUUUUUCAUUUUCGUUUUUUUAAAAAAAAAUUUUUGGAUUAUUCGGAUUGAACUGAAUCUUAUCCGAUCCAAAUCAAAUCCGAUCAGAUUACAAAAAUUUCAUCCGAUUGGAUUUUAAAGCAAAUCCAAAUCCGAUCCGAACAAAUUCGGAUCGAAUUGGAUUAGAUCGGAUCUAUCCGAAUCUGAUCCAAUGUCCACCCCUAUUCAAUCGGUUUCUGCAAUGGUUAAUGGCAUAUUUUUGCUCAUCGUCACCACUGAAUCCACUGAUCAUUUGUGCAUGUGAGUUGUUUUUGAGCAUUUAUUUUUCCCUUUAGAAGCAUAAGGAUAAGGCUAGUCUUCUUUUUGGGAGGACUUAUUGCUUCCAUUCGUUAAAAUUGGGCAUGUAAAAUGUCAAGAAAAAAUGGCCUAAGUGGCUAGCUAGAUGAUAUAAUGGAUGGUUACUACUCAAACCUAGCAAUAAAUGAAUGUCCGACAAGCAUUCAAAUGAAUGAAUAAAACCAAUCAGAUUAGAAUAUCUAUUUAUGAUAGAUUAAUGAAAAUACGAUUCAAAUAUAAGGUAAAUAAUCUCUCCAUUAAUUUUUUAUUGUUUCAGGCAGGGUUGCCAAGCCUCUGUCCGGGCUUCUAUAAGCUCAAUUCCAGCUCUCCUAUAUGAUUGAAUUAGAUCGGGCUAGGCCCUCGGACUUUUUAAUUAAAAAAGGUCGAUUUUUAAGUUUAUGAAGUUAAUACACUCACGCUUAUACUUUAAUAUUUUUAUUAUUUGGCUUUUAGAAUAUUAACGUGUAAAUUACUUUUUUUUUUCAAGUGAAAUAAUUAUCACAUUUUGUCUUCUUAGUAUAUAUUUCUACCUUUUUGUUCCUAUAGAUAUUUCCUCAUUUCAUCUUUGGUACUAGAGCGUAGUAAAAAAACACAUGAUUAAAGAUAAAUAUGACAUUUUAACUAACAAAUUAAUUAUUUGUAUCUAAGAUCUAGCUCUAGUGGUAAAGAUCAAUUUUCAUCGAAUUCAAGUCUUGGGUUUGAAUUUAAAUGCAUGGGUAAGUUAAUAAUAAUAAUAAUAAUAAUAAUAAUAAUAAUAAUAAUAAUAAUAAUAAUAAUAAUAAUAAUAAUAAUAAUAAUAAUAAUAAUAAUAAUAAUAAUAAUAAUAAUAAUAAUAAUAAUAAUAAUAAUAAUAAUAAUAAUAAUAAUAAUAAUAAUAAUAAUAAUAAUAAUAAUAAUAAUAAUAAUAAUAAUAAUAAUAAUAAUAAUAAUAAUAAUAAUAAUAAUAAUAAUAAUAAUAAUAAUAAUAAUAAUAAUAAUAAUAAUAAUAAUAAUAAUAAUAAUAAUAAUAAUAAUAAUAAUAAUAAUAAUAAUAAUAAUAAUAAUAAUAAUAAUAAUAAUAAUAAUAAUAAUAAUAAUAAUAAUAAUAAUAAUAAUAAUAAUAAUAAUAAUAAUAAUAAUAAUAAUAAUAAUAAUAAUAAUAAUAAUAAUAAUAAUAAUAAUAAUAAUAAUAAUAAUAAUAAUAAUAAUAAUAAUAAUAAUAAUAAUAAUAAUAAUAAUAAUAAUAAUAAUAAUAAUAAUAAUAAUAAUAAUAAUAAUAAUAAUAAUAAUAAUAAUAAUAAUAAUAAUAAUAAUAAUAAUAAUAAUAAUAAUAAUAAUAAUAAUAAUAAUAAUAAUAAUAAUAAUAAUAAUAAUAAUAAUAAUAAUAAUAAUAAUAAUAAUAAUAAUAAUAAUAAUAAUAAUAAUAAUAAUAAUAAUAAUAAUAAUAAUAAUAAUAAUAAUAAUAAUAAUAAUAAUAAUAAUAAUAAUAAUAAUAAUAAUAAUAAUAAUAAUAAUAAUAAUAAUAAUAAUAAUAAUAAUAAUAAUAAUAAUAAUAAUAAUAAUAAUAAUAAUAAUAAUAAUAAUAAUAAUAAUAAUAAUAAUAAUAAUAAUAAUAAUAAUAAUAAUAAUAAUAAUAAUAAUAAUAAUAAUAAUAAUAAUAAUAAUAAUAAUAAUAAUAAUAAUAAUAAUAAUAAUAAUAAUAAUAAUAAUAAUAAUAAUAAUAAUAAUAAUAAUAAUAAUAAUAAUAAUAAUAAUAAUAAUAAUAAUAAUAAUAAUAAUAAUAAUAAUAAUAAUAAUAAUAAUAAUAAUAAUAAUAAUAAUAAUAAUAAUAAUAAUAAUAAUAAUAAUAAUAAUAAUAAUAAUAAUAAUAAUAAUAAUAAUAAUAAUAAUAAUAAUAAUAAUAAUAAUAAUAAUAAUAAUAAUAAUAAUAAUAAUAAUAAUAAUAAUAAUAAUAAUAAUAAUAAUAAUAAUAAUAAUAAUAAUAAUAAUAAUAAUAAUAAUAAUAAUAAUAAUAAUAAUAAUAAUAAUAAUAAUAAUAAUAAUAAUAAUAAUAAUAAUAAUAAUAAUAAUAAUAAUAAUAAUAAUAAUAAUAAUAAUAAUAAUAAUAAUAAUAAUAAUAAUAAUAAUAAUAAUAAUAAUAAUAAUAAUAAUAAUAAUAAUAAUAAUAAUAAUAAUAAUAAUAAUAAUAAUAAUAAUAAUAAUAAUAAUAAUAAUAAUAAUAAUAAUAAUAAUAAUAAUAAUAAUAAUAAUAAUAAUAAUAAUAAUAAUAAUAAUAAUAAUAAUAAUAAUAAUAAUAAUAAUAAUAAUAAUAAUAAUAAUAAUAAUAAUAAUAAUAAUAAUAAUAAUAAUAAUAAUAAUAAUAAUAAUAAUAAUAAUAAUAAUAAUAAUAAUAAUAAUAAUAAUAAUAAUAAUAAUAAUAAUAAUAAUAAUAAUAAUAAUAAUAAUAAUAAUAAUAAUAAUAAUAAUAAUAAUAAUAAUAAUAAUAAUAAUAAUAAUAAUAAUAAUAAUAAUAAUAAUAAUAAUAAUAAUAAUAAUAAUAAUAAUAAUAAUAAUAAUAAUAAUAAUAAUAAUAAUAAUAAUAAUAAUAAUAAUAAUAAUAAUAAUAAUAAUAAUAAUAAUAAUAAUAAUAAUAAUAAUAAUAAUAAUAAUAAUAAUAAUAAUAAUAAUAAUAAUAAUAAUAAUAAUAAUAAUAAUAAUAAUAAUAAUAAUAAUAAUAAUAAUAAUAAUAAUAAUAAUAAUAAUAAUAAUAAUAAUAAUAAUAAUAAUAAUAAUAAUAAUAAUAAUAAUAAUAAUAAUAAUAAUAAUAAUAAUAAUAAUAAUAAUAAUAAUAAUAAUAAUAAUAAUAAUAAUAAUAAUAAUAAUAAUAAUAAUAAUAAUAAUAAUAAUAAUAAUAAUAAUAAUAAUAAUAAUAAUAAUAAUAAUAAUAAUAAUAAUAAUAAUAAUAAUAAUAAUAAUAAUAAUAAUAAUAAUAAUAAUAAUAAUAAUAAUAAUAAUAAUAAUAAUAAUAAUAAUAAUAAUAAUAAUAAUAAUAAUAAUAAUAAUAAUAAUAAUAAUAAUAAUAAUAAUAAUAAUAAUAAUAAUAAUAAUAAUAAUAAUAAUAAUAAUAAUAAUAAUAAUAAUAAUAAUAAUAAUAAUAAUAAUAAUAAUAAUAAUAAUAAUAAUAAUAAUAAUAAUAAUAAUAAUAAUAAUAAUAAUAAUAAUAAUAAUAAUAAUAAUAAUAAUAAUAAUAAUAAUAAUAAUAAUAAUAAUAAUAAUAAUAAUAAUAAUAAUAAUAAUAAUAAUAAUAAUAAUAAUAAUAAUAAUAAUAAUAAUAAUAAUAAUAAUAAUAAUAAUAAUAAUAAUAAUAAUAAUAAUAAUAAUAAUAAUAAUAAUAAUAAUAAUAAUAAUAAUAAUAAUAAUAAUAAUAAUAAUAAUAAUAAUAAUAAUAAUAAUAAUAAUAAUAAUAAUAAUAAUAAUAAUAAUAAUAAUAAUAAUAAUAAUAAUAAUAAUAAUAAUAAUAAUAAUAAUAAUAAUAAUAAUAAUAAUAAUAAUAAUAAUAAUAAUAAUAAUAAUAAUAAUAAUAAUAAUAAUAAUAAUAAUAAUAAUAAUAAUAAUAAUAAUAAUAAUAAUAAUAAUAAUAAUAAUAAUAAUAAUAAUAAUAAUAAUAAUAAUAAUAAUAAUAAUAAUAAUAAUAAUAAUAAUAAUAAUAAUAAUAAUAAUAAUAAUAAUAAUAAUAAUAAUAAUAAUAAUAAUAAUAAUAAUAAUAAUAAUAAUAAUAAUAAUAAUAAUAAUAAUAAUAAUAAUAAUAAUAAUAAUAAUAAUAAUAAUAAUAAUAAUAAUAAUAAUAAUAAUAAUAAUAAUAAUAAUAAUAAUAAUAAUAAUAAUAAUAAUAAUAAUAAUAAUAAUAAUAAUAAUAAUAAUAAUAAUAAUAAUAAUAAUAAUAAUAAUAAUAAUAAUAAUAAUAAUAAUAAUAAUAAUAAUAAUAAUAAUAAUAAUAAUAAUAAUAAUAAUAAUAAUAAUAAUAAUAAUAAUAAUAAUAAUAAUAAUAAUAAUAAUAAUAAUAAUAAUAAUAAUAAUAAUAAUAAUAAUAAUAAUAAUAAUAAUAAUAAUAAUAAUAAUAAUAAUAAUAAUAAUAAUAAUAAUAAUAAUAAUAAUAAUAAUAAUAAUAAUAAUAAUAAUAAUAAUAAUAAUAAUAAUAAUAAUAAUAAUAAUAAUAAUAAUAAUAAUAAUAAUAAUAAUAAUAAUAAUAAUAAUAAUAAUAAUAAUAAUAAUAAUAAUAAUAAUAAUAAUAAUAAUAAUAAUAAUAAUAAUAAUAAUAAUAAUAAUAAUAAUAAUAAUAAUAAUAAUAAUAAUAAUAAUAAUAAUAAUAAUAAUAAUAAUAAUAAUAAUAAUAAUAAUAAUAAUAAUAAUAAUAAUAAUAAUAAUAAUAAUAAUAAUAAUAAUAAUAAUAAUAAUAAUAAUAAUAAUAAUAAUAAUAAUAAUAAUAAUAAUAAUAAUAAUAAUAAUAAUAAUAAUAAUAAUAAUAAUAAUAAUAAUAAUAAUAAUAAUAAUAAUAAUAAUAAUAAUAAUAAUAAUAAUAAUAAUAAUAAUAAUAAUAAUAAUAAUAAUAAUAAUAAUAAUAAUAAUAAUAAUAAUAAUAAUAAUAAUAAUAAUAAUAAUAAUAAUAAUAAUAAUAAUAAUAAUAAUAAUAAUAAUAAUAAUAAUAAUAAUAAUAAUAAUAAUAAUAAUAAUAAUAAUAAUAAUAAUAAUAAUAAUAAUAAUAAUAAUAAUAAUAAUAAUAAUAAUAAUAAUAAUAAUAAUAAUAAUAAUAAUAAUAAUAAUAAUAAUAAUAAUAAUAAUAAUAAUAAUAAUAAUAAUAAUAAUAAUAAUAAUAAUAAUAAUAAUAAUAAUAAUAAUAAUAAUAAUAAUAAUAAUAAUAAUAAUAAUAAUAAUAAUAAUAAUAAUAAUAAUAAUAAUAAUAAUAAUAAUAAUAAUAAUAAUAAUAAUAAUAAUAAUAAUAAUAAUAAUAAUAAUAAUAAUAAUAAUAAUAAUAAUAAUAAUAAUAAUAAUAAUAAUAAUAAUAAUAAUAAUAAUAAUAAUAAUAAUAAUAAUAAUAAUAAUAAUAAUAAUAAUAAUAAUAAUAAUAAUAAUAAUAAUAAUAAUAAUAAUAAUAAUAAUAAUAAUAAUAAUAAUAAUAAUAAUAAUAAUAAUAAUAAUAAUAAUAAUAAUAAUAAUAAUAAUAAUAAUAAUAAUAAUAAUAAUAAUAAUAAUAAUAAUAAUAAUAAUAAUAAUAAUAAUAAUAAUAAUAAUAAUAAUAAUAAUAAUAAUAAUAAUAAUAAUAAUAAUAAUAAUAAUAAUAAUAAUAAUAAUAAUAAUAAUAAUAAUAAUAAUAAUAAUAAUAAUAAUAAUAAUAAUAAUAAUAAUAAUAAUAAUAAUAAUAAUAAUAAUAAUAAUAAUAAUAAUAAUAAUAAUAAUAAUAAUAAUAAUAAUAAUAAUAAUAAUAAUAAUAAUAAUAAUAAUAAUAAUAAUAAUAAUAAUAAUAAUAAUAAUAAUAAUAAUAAUAAUAAUAAUAAUAAUAAUAAUAAUAAUAAUAAUAAUAAUAAUAAUAAUAAUAAUAAUAAUAAUAAUAAUAAUAAUAAUAAUAAUAAUAAUAAUAAUAAUAAUAAUAAUAAUAAUAAUAAUAAUAAUAAUAAUAAUAAUAAUAAUAAUAAUAAUAAUAAUAAUAAUAAUAAUAAUAAUAAUAAUAAUAAUAAUAAUAAUAAUAAUAAUAAUAAUAAUAAUAAUAAUAAUAAUAAUAAUAAUAAUAAUAAUAAUAAUAAUAAUAAUAAUAAUAAUAAUAAUAAUAAUAAUAAUAAUAAUAAUAAUAAUAAUAAUAAUAAUAAUAAUAAUAAUAAUAAUAAUAAUAAUAAUAAUAAUAAUAAUAAUAAUAAUAAUAAUAAUAAUAAUAAUAAUAAUAAUAAUAAUAAUAAUAAUAAUAAUAAUAAUAAUAAUAAUAAUAAUAAUAAUAAUAAUAAUAAUAAUAAUAAUAAUAAUAAUAAUAAUAAUAAUAAUAAUAAUAAUAAUAAUAAUAAUAAUAAUAAUAAUAAUAAUAAUAAUAAUAAUAAUAAUAAUAAUAAUAAUAAUAAUAAUAAUAAUAAUAAUAAUAAUAAUAAUAAUAAUAAUAAUAAUAAUAAUAAUAAUAAUAAUAAUAAUAAUAAUAAUAAUAAUAAUAAUAAUAAUAAUAAUAAUAAUAAUAAUAAUAAUAAUAAUAAUAAUAAUAAUAAUAAUAAUAAUAAUAAUAAUAAUAAUAAUAAUAAUAAUAAUAAUAAUAAUAAUAAUAAUAAUAAUAAUAAUAAUAAUAAUAAUAAUAAUAAUAAUAAUAAUAAUAAUAAUAAUAAUAAUAAUAAUAAUAAUAAUAAUAAUAAUAAUAAUAAUAAUAAUAAUAAUAAUAAUAAUAAUAAUAAUAAUAAUAAUAAUAAUAAUAAUAAUAAUAAUAAUAAUAAUAAUAAUAAUAAUAAUAAUAAUAAUAAUAAUAAUAAUAAUAAUAAUAAUAAUAAUAAUAAUAAUAAUAAUAAUAAUAAUAAUAAUAAUAAUAAUAAUAAUAAUAAUAAUAAUAAUAAUAAUAAUAAUAAUAAUAAUAAUAAUAAUAAUAAUAAUAAUAAUAAUAAUAAUAAUAAUAAUAAUAAUAAUAAUAAUAAUAAUAAUAAUAAUAAUAAUAAUAAUAAUAAUAAUAAUAAUAAUAAUAAUAAUAAUAAUAAUAAUAAUAAUAAUAAUAAUAAUAAUAAUAAUAAUAAUAAUAAUAAUAAUAAUAAUAAUAAUAAUAAUAAUAAUAAUAAUAAUAAUAAUAAUAAUAAUAAUAAUAAUAAUAAUAAUAAUAAUAAUAAUAAUAAUAAUAAUAAUAAUAAUAAUAAUAAUAAUAAUAAUAAUAAUAAUAAUAAUAAUAAUAAUAAUAAUAAUAAUAAUAAUAAUAAUAAUAAUAAUAAUAAUAAUAAUAAUAAUAAUAAUAAUAAUAAUAAUAAUAAUAAUAAUAAUAAUAAUAAUAAUAAUAAUAAUAAUAAUAAUAAUAAUAAUAAUAAUAAUAAUAAUAAUAAUAAUAAUAAUAAUAAUAAUAAUAAUAAUAAUAAUAAUAAUAAUAAUAAUAAUAAUAAUAAUAAUAAUAAUAAUAAUAAUAAUAAUAAUAAUAAUAAUAAUAAUAAUAAUAAUAAUAAUAAUAAUAAUAAUAAUAAUAAUAAUAAUAAUAAUAAUAAUAAUAAUAAUAAUAAUAAUAAUAAUAAUAAUAAUAAUAAUAAUAAUAAUAAUAAUAAUAAUAAUAAUAAUAAUAAUAAUAAUAAUAAUAAUAAUAAUAAUAAUAAUAAUAAUAAUAAUAAUAAUAAUAAUAAUAAUAAUAAUAAUAAUAAUAAUAAUAAUAAUAAUAAUAAUAAUAAUAAUAAUAAUAAUAAUAAUAAUAAUAAUAAUAAUAAUAAUAAUAAUAAUAAUAAUAAUAAUAAUAAUAAUAAUAAUAAUAAUAAUAAUAAUAAUAAUAAUAAUAAUAAUAAUAAUAAUAAUAAUAAUAAUAAUAAUAAUAAUAAUAAUAAUAAUAAUAAUAAUAAUAAUAAUAAUAAUAAUAAUAAUAAUAAUAAUAAUAAUAAUAAUAAUAAUAAUAAUAAUAAUAAUAAUAAUAAUAAUAAUAAUAAUAAUAAUAAUAAUAAUAAUAAUAAUAAUAAUAAUAAUAAUAAUAAUAAUAAUAAUAAUAAUAAUAAUAAUAAUAAUAAUAAUAAUAAUAAUAAUAAUAAUAAUAAUAAUAAUAAUAAUAAUAAUAAUAAUAAUAAUAAUAAUAAUAAUAAUAAUAAUAAUAAUAAUAAUAAUAAUAAUAAUAAUAAUAAUAAUAAUAAUAAUAAUAAUAAUAAUAAUAAUAAUAAUAAUAAUAAUAAUAAUAAUAAUAAUAAUAAUAAUAAUAAUAAUAAUAAUAAUAAUAAUAAUAAUAAUAAUAAUAAUAAUAAUAAUAAUAAUAAUAAUAAUAAUAAUAAUAAUAAUAAUAAUAAUAAUAAUAAUAAUAAUAAUAAUAAUAAUAAUAAUAAUAAUAAUAAUAAUAAUAAUAAUAAUAAUAAUAAUAAUAAUAAUAAUAAUAAUAAUAAUAAUAAUAAUAAUAAUAAUAAUAAUAAUAAUAAUAAUAAUAAUAAUAAUAAUAAUAAUAAUAAUAAUAAUAAUAAUAAUAAUAAUAAUAAUAAUAAUAAUAAUAAUAAUAAUAAUAAUAAUAAUAAUAAUAAUAAUAAUAAUAAUAAUAAUAAUAAUAAUAAUAAUAAUAAUAAUAAUAAUAAUAAUAAUAAUAAUAAUAAUAAUAAUAAUAAUAAUAAUAAUAAUAAUAAUAAUAAUAAUAAUAAUAAUAAUAAUAAUAAUAAUAAUAAUAAUAAUAAUAAUAAUAAUAAUAAUAAUAAUAAUAAUAAUAAUAAUAAUAAUAAUAAUAAUAAUAAUAAUAAUAAUAAUAAUAAUAAUAAUAAUAAUAAUAAUAAUAAUAAUAAUAAUAAUAAUAAUAAUAAUAAUAAUAAUAAUAAUAAUAAUAAUAAUAAUAAUAAUAAUAAUAAUAAUAAUAAUAAUAAUAAUAAUAAUAAUAAUAAUAAUAAUAAUAAUAAUAAUAAUAAUAAUAAUAAUAAUAAUAAUAAUAAUAAUAAUAAUAAUAAUAAUAAUAAUAAUAAUAAUAAUAAUAAUAAUAAUAAUAAUAAUAAUAAUAAUAAUAAUAAUAAUAAUAAUAAUAAUAAUAAUAAUAAUAAUAAUAAUAAUAAUAAUAAUAAUAAUAAUAAUAAUAAUAAUAAUAAUAAUAAUAAUAAUAAUAAUAAUAAUAAUAAUAAUAAUAAUAAUAAUAAUAAUAAUAAUAAUAAUAAUAAUAAUAAUAAUAAUAAUAAUAAUAAUAAUAAUAAUAAUAAUAAUAAUAAUAAUAAUAAUAAUAAUAAUAAUAAUAAUAAUAAUAAUAAUAAUAAUAAUAAUAAUAAUAAUAAUAAUAAUAAUAAUAAUAAUAAUAAUAAUAAUAAUAAUAAUAAUAAUAAUAAUAAUAAUAAUAAUAAUAAUAAUAAUAAUAAUAAUAAUAAUAAUAAUAAUAAUAAUAAUAAUAAUAAUAAUAAUAAUAAUAAUAAUAAUAAUAAUAAUAAUAAUAAUAAUAAUAAUAAUAAUAAUAAUAAUAAUAAUAAUAAUAAUAAUAAUAAUAAUAAUAAUAAUAAUAAUAAUAAUAAUAAUAAUAAUAAUAAUAAUAAUAAUAAUAAUAAUAAUAAUAAUAAUAAUAAUAAUAAUAAUAAUAAUAAUAAUAAUAAUAAUAAUAAUAAUAAUAAUAAUAAUAAUAAUAAUAAUAAUAAUAAUAAUAAUAAUAAUAAUAAUAAUAAUAAUAAUAAUAAUAAUAAUAAUAAUAAUAAUAAUAAUAAUAAUAAUAAUAAUAAUAAUAAUAAUAAUAAUAAUAAUAAUAAUAAUAAUAAUAAUAAUAAUAAUAAUAAUAAUAAUAAUAAUAAUAAUAAUAAUAAUAAUAAUAAUAAUAAUAAUAAUAAUAAUAAUAAUAAUAAUAAUAAUAAUAAUAAUAAUAAUAAUAAUAAUAAUAAUAAUAAUAAUAAUAAUAAUAAUAAUAAUAAUAAUAAUAAUAAUAAUAAUAAUAAUAAUAAUAAUAAUAAUAAUAAUAAUAAUAAUAAUAAUAAUAAUAAUAAUAAUAAUAAUAAUAAUAAUAAUAAUAAUAAUAAUAAUAAUAAUAAUAAUAAUAAUAAUAAUAAUAAUAAUAAUAAUAAUAAUAAUAAUAAUAAUAAUAAUAAUAAUAAUAAUAAUAAUAAUAAUAAUAAUAAUAAUAAUAAUAAUAAUAAUAAUAAUAAUAAUAAUAAUAAUAAUAAUAAUAAUAAUAAUAAUAAUAAUAAUAAUAAUAAUAAUAAUAAUAAUAAUAAUAAUAAUAAUAAUAAUAAUAAUAAUAAUAAUAAUAAUAAUAAUAAUAAUAAUAAUAAUAAUAAUAAUAAUAAUAAUAAUAAUAAUAAUAAUAAUAAUAAUAAUAAUAAUAAUAAUAAUAAUAAUAAUAAUAAUAAUAAUAAUAAUAAUAAUAAUAAUAAUAAUAAUAAUAAUAAUAAUAAUAAUAAUAAUAAUAAUAAUAAUAAUAAUAAUAAUAAUAAUAAUAAUAAUAAUAAUAAUAAUAAUAAUAAUAAUAAUAAUAAUAAUAAUAAUAAUAAUAAUAAUAAUAAUAAUAAUAAUAAUAAUAAUAAUAAUAAUAAUAAUAAUAAUAAUAAUAAUAAUAAUAAUAAUAAUAAUAAUAAUAAUAAUAAUAAUAAUAAUAAUAAUAAUAAUAAUAAUAAUAAUAAUAAUAAUAAUAAUAAUAAUAAUAAUAAUAAUAAUAAUAAUAAUAAUAAUAAUAAUAAUAAUAAUAAUAAUAAUAAUAAUAAUAAUAAUAAUAAUAAUAAUAAUAAUAAUAAUAAUAAUAAUAAUAAUAAUAAUAAUAAUAAUAAUAAUAAUAAUAAUAAUAAUAAUAAUAAUAAUAAUAAUAAUAAUAAUAAUAAUAAUAAUAAUAAUAAUAAUAAUAAUAAUAAUAAUAAUAAUAAUAAUAAUAAUAAUAAUAAUAAUAAUAAUAAUAAUAAUAAUAAUAAUAAUAAUAAUAAUAAUAAUAAUAAUAAUAAUAAUAAUAAUAAUAAUAAUAAUAAUAAUAAUAAUAAUAAUAAUAAUAAUAAUAAUAAUAAUAAUAAUAAUAAUAAUAAUAAUAAUAAUAAUAAUAAUAAUAAUAAUAAUAAUAAUAAUAAUAAUAAUAAUAAUAAUAAUAAUAAUAAUAAUAAUAAUAAUAAUAAUAAUAAUAAUAAUAAUAAUAAUAAUAAUAAUAAUAAUAAUAAUAAUAAUAAUAAUAAUAAUAAUAAUAAUAAUAAUAAUAAUAAUAAUAAUAAUAAUAAUAAUAAUAAUAAUAAUAAUAAUAAUAAUAAUAAUAAUAAUAAUAAUAAUAAUAAUAAUAAUAAUAAUAAUAAUAAUAAUAAUAAUAAUAAUAAUAAUAAUAAUAAUAAUAAUAAUAAUAAUAAUAAUAAUAAUAAUAAUAAUAAUAAUAAUAAUAAUAAUAAUAAUAAUAAUAAUAAUAAUAAUAAUAAUAAUAAUAAUAAUAAUAAUAAUAAUAAUAAUAAUAAUAAUAAUAAUAAUAAUAAUAAUAAUAAUAAUAAUAAUAAUAAUAAUAAUAAUAAUAAUAAUAAUAAUAAUAAUAAUAAUAAUAAUAAUAAUAAUAAUAAUAAUAAUAAUAAUAAUAAUAAUAAUAAUAAUAAUAAUAAUAAUAAUAAUAAUAAUAAUAAUAAUAAUAAUAAUAAUAAUAAUAAUAAUAAUAAUAAUAAUAAUAAUAAUAAUAAUAAUAAUAAUAAUAAUAAUAAUAAUAAUAAUAAUAAUAAUAAUAAUAAUAAUAAUAAUAAUAAUAAUAAUAAUAAUAAUAAUAAUAAUAAUAAUAAUAAUAAUAAUAAUAAUAAUAAUAAUAAUAAUAAUAAUAAUAAUAAUAAUAAUAAUAAUAAUAAUAAUAAUAAUAAUAAUAAUAAUAAUAAUAAUAAUAAUAAUAAUAAUAAUAAUAAUAAUAAUAAUAAUAAUAAUAAUAAUAAUAAUAAUAAUAAUAAUAAUAAUAAUAAUAAUAAUAAUAAUAAUAAUAAUAAUAAUAAUAAUAAUAAUAAUAAUAAUAAUAAUAAUAAUAAUAAUAAUAAUAAUAAUAAUAAUAAUAAUAAUAAUAAUAAUAAUAAUAAUAAUAAUAAUAAUAAUAAUAAUAAUAAUAAUAAUAAUAAUAAUAAUAAUAAUAAUAAUAAUAAUAAUAAUAAUAAUAAUAAUAAUAAUAAUAAUAAUAAUAAUAAUAAUAAUAAUAAUAAUAAUAAUAAUAAUAAUAAUAAUAAUAAUAAUAAUAAUAAUAAUAAUAAUAAUAAUAAUAAUAAUAAUAAUAAUAAUAAUAAUAAUAAUAAUAAUAAUAAUAAUAAUAAUAAUAAUAAUAAUAAUAAUAAUAAUAAUAAUAAUAAUAAUAAUAAUAAUAAUAAUAAUAAUAAUAAUAAUAAUAAUAAUAAUAAUAAUAAUAAUAAUAAUAAUAAUAAUAAUAAUAAUAAUAAUAAUAAUAAUAAUAAUAAUAAUAAUAAUAAUAAUAAUAAUAAUAAUAAUAAUAAUAAUAAUAAUAAUAAUAAUAAUAAUAAUAAUAAUAAUAAUAAUAAUAAUAAUAAUAAUAAUAAUAAUAAUAAUAAUAAUAAUAAUAAUAAUAAUAAUAAUAAUAAUAAUAAUAAUAAUAAUAAUAAUAAUAAUAAUAAUAAUAAUAAUAAUAAUAAUAAUAAUAAUAAUAAUAAUAAUAAUAAUAAUAAUAAUAAUAAUAAUAAUAAUAAUAAUAAUAAUAAUAAUAAUAAUAAUAAUAAUAAUAAUAAUAAUAAUAAUAAUAAUAAUAAUAAUAAUAAUAAUAAUAAUAAUAAUAAUAAUAAUAAUAAUAAUAAUAAUAAUAAUAAUAAUAAUAAUAAUAAUAAUAAUAAUAAUAAUAAUAAUAAUAAUAAUAAUAAUAAUAAUAAUAAUAAUAAUAAUAAUAAUAAUAAUAAUAAUAAUAAUAAUAAUAAUAAUAAUAAUAAUAAUAAUAAUAAUAAUAAUAAUAAUAAUAAUAAUAAUAAUAAUAAUAAUAAUAAUAAUAAUAAUAAUAAUAAUAAUAAUAAUAAUAAUAAUAAUAAUAAUAAUAAUAAUAAUAAUAAUAAUAAUAAUAAUAAUAAUAAUAAUAAUAAUAAUAAUAAUAAUAAUAAUAAUAAUAAUAAUAAUAAUAAUAAUAAUAAUAAUAAUAAUAAUAAUAAUAAUAAUAAUAAUAAUAAUAAUAAUAAUAAUAAUAAUAAUAAUAAUAAUAAUAAUAAUAAUAAUAAUAAUAAUAAUAAUAAUAAUAAUAAUAAUAAUAAUAAUAAUAAUAAUAAUAAUAAUAAUAAUAAUAAUAAUAAUAAUAAUAAUAAUAAUAAUAAUAAUAAUAAUAAUAAUAAUAAUAAUAAUAAUAAUAAUAAUAAUAAUAAUAAUAAUAAUAAUAAUAAUAAUAAUAAUAAUAAUAAUAAUAAUAAUAAUAAUAAUAAUAAUAAUAAUAAUAAUAAUAAUAAUAAUAAUAAUAAUAAUAAUAAUAAUAAUAAUAAUAAUAAUAAUAAUAAUAAUAAUAAUAAUAAUAAUAAUAAUAAUAAUAAUAAUAAUAAUAAUAAUAAUAAUAAUAAUAAUAAUAGAGAAGAGAAAAAUUAGAUCUAGGGUUUCUUUCUUUUUCUCCAAUCCAAAAAUCCCCCCUUUUCACAAUAGAUUCCUCCCUUAAAUACUCUCUCUCUCUUCUCCUCUAGAAUUCUAUUUAAAAUAAAAUACUAACAUCUGAAAUAUUAAAUUCGUAAUUACAAAAAUAACCAAAAAUACAAAACACGUUAAACUAAAAACUGCAGGUCCGCAGUUGACAGCACGCGCCCACGCCUUAUCAACAAAGUUCUUCUGACGCUCAUAAUUUCUCCAAGAGAACAAUCAUCCUUAAACAUCAUCUUAUAGCUCAAUUUUAUCAUCAAUCAAUAGAAUUGCACCUACAAAAGUAAAACAUAAGUAAAUCACUAUUAUUAAGUGCAAAACAUUGAUAUUAAGGGAAGUAAAUAAUGCAAAACUAGUGCAUAAAUUGCACUCUAACAGUAAUCAGUAAUCAGCAUUAAAAAUUAAAUUAAAUUAAAUUUUUUUGUUUUUAAUAUUAUUUAGUUAUAGACUUAUUAUUAUAUUUAUUCGUUCAUAAAACUAAAUAAUGUUAAAUCAAAUAAAAUAAUCAGGAAUGGUUCUUAAAAAAUUAAUAUUAUUUAUUUUAUUUUAUUUAAUAUUAUUUAGUCAUAGCCUAUUAUUCUGUUUAUUUUUUGAAAAUUAAAUAAUAUUAAAUAAAAUAGAAUAGAAAAUGUGAGUCCUUAAAAAUAAAAAUUAUUUUUAAUAUUAUUUAUUUUAUUUAAAAGAAUAAAUUUUUUAAUAUUUUUAUUUUAUUAAAAAAUAUUAUUUAAUAUUAUCUAGUCAUAGGCUUAUUAUUAUAUUUCUUCUUUUAGAAAGUUAAAUAGUAUUAAAUGAAAUAAAAUUACAUUUUAGAAGGUCAUUAGCCAAAGCACAUAAACUUAUAAACAAAUGGAAAUAAAAAAGGUAAAUAAUAUUCAAUAAAAUAAAAUUACAUUUUAAAAGGUCACCAACCAAAGCACAUAAUAUUAUAACAAAAAUGUAAAUAAAAAAGAAAGUAAGAGAUUCAAUGAAAUUUAACAUCACAAAAGACAAUUUCAAAAAUUGGGGGUAGCUUGCAACUGUUGCAAAGUGGCUGGUUCCAUAAUUUUGAGAUAAUGUUUCGGUUUCAAAUAUUGUUAUCGAUACCUAAUUAUAAGUAAUAAAAAAAUAUUGUAUAAUUUUUUUACCAACAUUUACAAUACAUUUUAUUUUGAUUUCUGAAAAAAAUAGAUAAAACACAAAUUAAUUAUUUUAACCCUCUAUUCUCUCAAUAUUUAAACUCGAAUAAUCAGUUAAAAGUUGCUCGAGAAUGUUUAAAAGCCAUUUAAGUAUACCACGUCAUUCAUGUUUUGCAAUCAUUCAAUUGUUAAUAAGUUUCCCAUGUGCUGAAAAUAAAUAAAAAUGCACGUGCAUAUGUCAUAUUGUCUCCGAAACCUCACAGCGGAAUGAGUGUAGUACUUGCAAUGCAUGUACUUUAGACUUUGUAUUUCUCUUAUUUAAAUGAUCAAUAAUUUUUCUUUGUCCUUUAAUUAGACGUCAACAGUCGAAGUUGUGGGCAGGUAGUAGGCUAUAUAUAAUAAUUUCCUGGAGAUCUUCCGUCUUCUAAGACAUUGCAAAUGCCAAACGUGAUAACUAUUUUGAUAAUUCAAAUACUACAUAAAAUAUAUGAAGUGUCAGACAAGUCAAAAGAAUUGAUUCUUCACAAUUGUAUAUACGUAUACACACACUUUGCCCAAAUCCCAUUGUAUCCAGGCUGUAAUUUUUAUAUUAAACGAACAUAUUUUAUUUUAUGUCAGCAAUAUUGAUGCAGGCUGGGGGAACAACAGCUUCAGGAUGGUCAACUACCCUUCGGAUCAUUGCAAGUGGGAUGGCAUCACUUGCAAUUCAGAUGGAAGCAUAAUCAGGCUAAAAUUAUCAUGGUGUGAUGUUGACUUCAAAAGGUAAUCUUCGUAAAAUUAUCAUGGUAUAAUAUACGUAUUUAUUUUCGCAUACAUAAAUAAAUAACAAAAUUGUAAUUAAUUGGAUACAGCUUCAGCUUUUGGACUGGUUUGUGAAAAUCAGAAAAAUUUAAAAAUGCUCCUCUUGAACAAUCAAAAUCUACUUUAUACGUGAACAAAGGGGAUGAUUCGUAAAGAUAGUUCAUCAAUGUUUGAUUGCUUUCAAGCGUGUCGAUUACUUUCAGAAAGAAAGACUUCAUUUGAUCUCGUCACAAAACAUAAUUUCACUUUGAAUUUGAAAAAGAAUAAUGAAGUUCAUACAAGUGCUGUUAUGACCUUUUUUUUUUUGUUUUCUUUUUUUCUCGACGUUGUUUUGUGAAUCAUAAGGGUUAAUUUAAUACGGUGGGUUCGCUUGUAUGAAGCGCACUUAUUGUACCAUUCUGUUGCAAGCAAUGAAAAAACGCUAUAAUUUUUUUAAGUUUCUACAAGUAUUAUGUUAUCUUAUAUCUAAAUGUGCAUCUCUAGUCUUUGCUCUCAGUUCAGGUUCUCUAAAAGUAUAUUAAUUAUGAAAAGCAUUAAAGGUUCCGAAACUCUAUUUUGCGGGGAAAAAGAACCUCCAUUUUUGGUUUUUUAUUAUAUGAGAUUUUACUAUGCUCGUAAUAACUUAAUCGAAAUUAAACAUAUCACUGGUCUACAUUUUUUUAUAAGAUUUUGUGACUUGCUAAUUAAGAUGAGUAUCACCAUCAAAUCAACAAGCUUAUACCUUCAAAGAAAAAUAGACUAUAAGUCGGGAGAAAGAAGAAAAAAAAAAAAAAAAGAAUCUUCGCAAUUUAUGCUGUUGGUUGUGAGUUCAUGAAACAAAUAAAAAUAUGAAAUCAAACAUUUAUUCAAAAUUUAAAAUUAAAAAAAAAACUCUAUAUCUACAGUAAUCUGUUCAAACCACAUAGGUGGAGCAAUAUAGUUCCAAGACGUGGUUUUAAAACAUGUCUUUGUGAUAAACAAUAUCGUGAUACUUGCGCCAAUUCCCAUGGCAAUAAUUGCCUACAUUUAUCCAAGAUCCAUGGCCAGGUUUAGAAUGUGCUAGUCUUCUUUCACUUUCAUAAAUAACCACUACUAGGUAAUCAGAGUGUCGGUCUAAAUUUUUCGGAGAUACAACGUCAAUGUAUGUGCCCGGAGUUGAAGCUGAACGCGCUUAAAUAUGUUCGGAAUUUGAAGUUGAACGCCUGGAAAAGGAUGCAGACUGAAGAAAGGCAAUUCCUGGAAUUUGUCUUUGGUAAGAAAACAUGGCUGCUUAUGCCCUUUGAAAGACUGAAGAAACCAAAUUGAUUAUUGCUGCAAUUUAGUGGCACAUGUACGAGGAGAGGCAUCCAAUUAAACUUGUUCAUAAAAGUAUUGCUGAUAGUUGCAGCCGAUCUCCAGACAAAAUCUUCGUACAAUUUUAUCCGCCAGCAAUUUCGACCAAGAGACCUUGAUGCAGUUCAGACCAAUUCGCCAGUUGAACAUCAAGUUGCCUAGGCAUUGAGAAUUAGGUCAAUAAAAUAUAUCCUGGGUCACUUACAAAAGAUGAAAUAAGUGAAAAAGGAAAGAUGACGUAAUAAUUUCUUAGUGAGAAAAGUUAGUUAAUUUGCAAAGGUCUUAGAUAAUCAAUUUGAUGUAAAAAUAUCAAAAUUUUUUUUAAUCAGUGAAAUAUUCAACCUCUAGUUUCAGCACUACAAAUGAAUUAAAUAGAAUAAUGAUAGAUAUUUUAAAAUUUUAUCCCAAAUGAUGUGAUAUGUAAUGUAUCAUUCAUUAAGUAGUUGAUGAUUUUUUUAUAAAUUUUAAGUGGAUUAAUUAUAUUAUUUUACCAACGAGUAAAUAAAUGUCACAUCAUUAGAGAAGAAAUUUUAAGGUAAAACUUUUCAAAUAUAUAUCACUACUCCAUUAAAUAUGGUAUAAAAAAUCUAAUAGGGACCAAAAAUAUAAAAACCCAUUAAAAAUAAAAAAUAUAAAAGUCAAUUCCUAAUUAGAAGAAUGAAAGUUUGUUUCUCCUACAAUCAUUUCACUAGAUUUUAAAUAAAUUAAUUAAUGAAAAUUUUUAAUAACAAAUCGGUGCCUAAACCUAACGUCUUUUUUUUUUUGGUCUUAUCCACGAGGUAUCCUGGGGAGGGCCCCAACUGUGGGAGGCACCUUUAAGCCCGUACCACAACCCAGACUAGAAGUCCCCGCUCGAACCGGGAGGCACAGGUUCUCCCAACAAAGGCGACUUCCCCGCGACUCGAACUGGGGAGCAAACCCAGUCAAGCCACUUAAGGGGACUCCAUUGCCAGUGGAGCCAACACUUUGUUGGUUAAACCUAACGUCUUUGACAGUGCUGCCAAUAUCACUCACAACUUACAAGAAAAUUUUGGUAUUAAAUUUAUUAAUGUUCUCAAGGAAUUUUUAGUUUGACUUUGCAUUCUCAGACCCAUUUGUCACAUAACACGUUAGCAAAGACCUUUAAUGAGAAUAUUAAAACAGCUGUCGAAUAAGCAUCUUGACGACGACUUUUUGACAUAUAUGCAUGCCUCCUUUUGUGAACAAAUUUGAAACAUAAAAGAAAAUUUUGAUCCAUGUGAGAGCUGGAGUAUUUUAUAGCUUUUGACCUCAUUAAUUAUGAGUAAGGGAAUAUUUCUACGUCACUAACGAUUAACAUGAUCACUAUAUAAAGGGAAGCAAAGUAUGUUUAGCAUCAAGUCAGAAAACACAAUUUUUAGGAAAUGGGAACUCUAGGACAGGCGAAGCAAUGGCCUCAAUUGGUUUGUGCUAUGGCAUUUUUGCUCAUAGCCACCACAACCGCAAAGGCAUCAGCUGAUGAUUAUGGCCCAGCACCAUCACCAAAGCAUGCAAAGCACCCUCCAAGCCAUUACAAGCCACCGAAACCACCAAAGCACCACGAGUCACCACCACCAUACUACUAUAACUCACCACCUCCACCAGUACAUUCUCCUCCACCACCUUAUUACUAUAAGUCUCCACCACCACCUUCUCUAUCUCCACCACCUCCUUACUAUUAUAAAUCACCACCACCACCGAAACAUUCUCCUCCACCUCCUUACUACUACAAAUCACCACCUCCUCCUUCUCCCUCUCCACCUCCACCAUAUUAUUACAAGUCUCCCCCACCACCAUCUCCAUCUCCCCCACCGCCUUACUACUAUAAAUCCCCACCACCACCAAAAUAUUCUCCUCCACCACCUUACUACUAUAAGUCACCACCUCCACCAGUGAAAUCUCCACCUCCGCCAUAUUACUAUAAAUCACCACCACCACCAAAACAUUCUCCCCCACCACCUUACUACUACAAGUCACCACCACCACCAAUGCAUUCUCCCCCACCACCUUACUAUUACAAAUCUCCACCACCACCAAAGCAUUCUCCUCCACCACCACCUUAUUACAAAUCACCACCCCCACCACCACCAAAACAUUCUCCCCCACCACCUUACUACUAUAAAUCUCCACCGCCACCAAAACAUUCUCCUCCUCCACCAUACUACUAUAAGUCACCACCUCCACCUGUAAAGUCUCCACCUCCACCACCUCACUACAAAUCACCACCACCACCAAAACAGUCUCCUCCACCACCUUAUUACUACAAGUCACCACCCCCACCAGUAAAGUCUCCACCACAGCCACCAAAGCAUUCUCCCCCGCCAC